AUCUUUCAGCCAAGAAAACAAAACCCGUAAGUUUCGGUAAGAGUAGAGGUUUCAGGUUAUCAUCACUUGUGUAAAGUCAAUCUCCAAGAAGAUUAAGAAGUUUUCAGACAAGCGUAAGAAGAUUAAGAAGAUUAAGAAGGGAAUUAGGAUAAUGUGAUGGUGACAAGUUAUCCCAAAACUGAUAGUGACAAGCAUAAGAAGUUUGCAAAUCCUCUUUGAAGAUCUGUUUUAGGUUGAUCUAUGUGGCAAUUAGUGGGGCUGACUAGGACAGUAACCGGAGGUUCCCACGUGGAGGAGAAGUGCAAGUUGGCUCGCUGGGGGGAUUACAUUGCAGCCCUCUGGACCCCUUUGAAGAAGAAGAACUGAAGCAGAAGAAGAAGAAGGUGGCUCCCUUUUUCAUUGAUAUUCUACGAAAAAAUGAAGGAAACUAAGGACAUCAUCACUUUUUCAUUGAUAUUCAACGUCUCUAAUACGACUAGCAAGUAGCAACACACGUCAUACACCAUCCCUUUUGUUCCCAGAACUAGAAGCAAAUAGUCCGACAGUGAAAAAAGUUUCUUAUUGUAAAAGUUAAACAGUUGGAUGUUUGGAUUAGUUGUUAAAGUCCCUUUUUGUUCUUGAAGUUGAACCGUUAAGUUUCGAUUUGCUUAGCUUUCUUCUAUGCUGUAAUUUUUGGUUAUCUUGGCGUAGUCCACCUCGUUUCAUCUUCUUUAAUAAAAUCUCAGGUAUUAUGAAUUUCUUCUCCAUUCUGUUCGGAUGGGGAGGGGGGGGGGGGGGGGGGCGGGGGGGGGGAAAUAUAUAUAAUCAUCAAGAGACACUAAUCAAUUUCAAACUAGAAUGGACACCCAAAACAACCUCAAAUAUAAUCUAUCAGAACACCCCUAUAACACUUGCUGUAAUGUUACACUUUUCAGUUCAGCAAACUUUUCUAUAAACUUAUAAUGAUUAAUCAUACAAGUCCACUCAGUAAAUGACUUGUCUCCUCUAUUUUUGAGAAACAGGAGAACUAUCAAUGGGAUAUCUUUGCCGCGGUGGACGCCUUGUUCCAACCUCCAGUCACUGCCAUACUUCUUUCCUCAAGUUCCUGCAGCUCUCCACACUGAGGCUGCUGCUCCAUCUGGGGCUGACUAAAUGCAGCCUGCACAGCGCUAGUAGUAGAUAGAGUGCAAGUUCCCAAACGCUUCCUCCCUCUUCCCCCGCCAACCUUACCAGCAUUUCUCUGGGAUAAACCUGACUGCCAGCUGCCACCACUUGCUCUAAUUGACCCUUCAAAUGUUUGAAGAUCCUCAGUCACCUCAUUUCUUGACAAAAUAAAUACUCUUUUAUUAUAAGUUACUGUUUCAUGGGUACUUCCAACUACAGAUAUAUUUUUUCAGAAAGUAUGUACCUGUUAAUGAGAAAUAGCAUUCUUCGAUAUAACAUCAAAAGUAACUCCAUUUUCUUGAAGCCUUUCUUGAAGAUCAGUUGGUCCAAAUACAAUCCCAGCUGGGAGAACUCCUCCCUUUGGAAGGUCAUCGCGUUGGCUCAGAACAAUAAGAGCACAUUGAAGUAGAAUUAUCGGGGUCGUUAGGUAUCCAAUUUCAGGUCCCAUAACUCUUGUUACUAUUUCCAUAUCAGGUUUUGUGUUUCCCUGAGAAACAAGACUCCUGUCGCUGAAACCACGUCCAACAAACCACAUCUUAAAAGAAGCACUUCUCACCUCCUCAUCAGAUGGACCCUCCUUUCUGAAUAAUCCAACACUGAAGAAUGAGGGAACUUUAAAGCAACCACCUCCCAAAGGAAAUAGACCCAAGAGCCCAAGAAAGAGUCCAAAAAUCAUGAUCCGAAUAAUGCCCAACAGAGACUUGGUGCCUAUCUUCACCCCAAAAUGAGCUGGCUUCACUGUUGACCAGAAGGCUUCUCUUUUCUUAAUAUGUUCAUCAGUCUCAUUCCUCCCUGGAAGACCACCAGGAUUUUCAGUCAGAGCACCAAGUGUUCUUCGUACAACAAUAGCAUCUGCUGAAGGUAGCUUCACAGCCCAAAGACCAAUCUUUUUCUGGUGUUCAAUGAUUGGUCCUUUAGAAGGAGGAGGACCAGGAAUCUGCAAACAAAAAAGGUAAAUCAUGAUCAAUCAAUUGAACUCCCUGGCCAUUAAGAUACAUAUCAAUCUUUGUUCUCAACCCCCAAAAGCUACAUUUUUUAGUGUCUAUGCCGCAAACAUUUGAAGGAGAACUGCAAGGUAUAAUUCUAUAAACUAUGAAUCCCCUAUAUCAUGCAGCAAUAGAACUAAAAAUGCAUGAGUAAGCCAUUCUACAUGUGUCUUGGCUACCAAUAUUCUACUGUUAGUUUCUGAUAAAACUUGUAAACUUAGUGUACAAAGACGUGCAGGGUAUCAUAUAGCAAUGGAUGUACAGUACAUAACUACCAAUAACCAAACCACUGAUUACGUCAGUAAGGAAUUUGAACAAAGAUACAACAAAGAACUAAGAAACACAAGCCUCAAUUGUCGUUCUUUACUAACUAACCAUAACGGCAUGUAAAGUUCUAAGCUGCCACUGGCUAGUUUAACAUUUCAUUUCUGCUUUCCCCUACAUCACUAUCCACAAAAACAGAACACAGCAGCAAAGUUUUCAACUUCAAACAACAAAACCAAUCAAGCAAUCAACAACCCAAAAAAGUAUGGUAAUCUAAUCAAACUCAUUACUUGCAGCCUCGGUUUUUUCGGCCUGGACCGCCGGAGCGCAUUGGCCACACCCAACACCACCGACUCAAACGUCCCAAAGUUCCCCGCAAUCCUCUUAUCACUCUCCAAGCUCAAAUAAGCCUCCACCCUAUUCGGUACCGCCGCCCCCUCCCACUGCCUCGAGUUAAACAUCACUCCAAGCUCCGCCGGAACAGAGUCAAACCCGCAUGCCGAAAUGACCAAACUACCCUUCUCCGCGGCCUUUUCAAAGUAACUCGCUUCCAUCCUCUCCAUGAACUCCGGCUCUCCGCAUAUGUCGAGAUAGUCACAGCCGCUUUCCACGCAUGCAGCGACGACUGGCUCGCCGUAGAGGCGGAAGGGUCCCACGCAGUUGAGGACGAGGCGGGUUUGGGAGCAGAGGCGGCGGAGGGAAUGAGGGUCGGAGGUGUUGGCGGUGAGGAUGGGAAUGGAGGGCGGUGGAGGGUUUGGGGCGGCGGCCCAUGUGAGGGUUUGGGAGAUCUUGGUGGGGUUGCGGCCGGCUAAGGCGAGAGAGGUGAGAGGUGAGGAGGGAGUGUUGAGGAACUUGAGGGCUUCUUUGACGACGUACUUGCCGGUGAAGCCGGAGGCGCCGAGGAUGAUGAGGUCGUAGGGAGGAGUGGGGAGGUCUGACGUCAUGUUUGAGAGGGAGUGAGAUUUGGAGUGUGAAGAUUGGAGAUGAGGGUUUGACUACUUUUAUAGAGUGAUGAAACUGCGGUGUUACCUAUGUCGGUUUGGUUCUUAAUUUCUUAUCCAGUACGGUUUGUUACGGUGGUACCAUGAUCUAGUCAGAAGCAGACCAUGUCAUCCUUGUUUAAGUCUUUUUAUGGGUUUUUAGUGACCGACGUAGAGUCGCUGAACGCCGCAAAUAGUUAAGAGCGGUGGUGAACCGGUGGAUGGUGGUGGUGAAGUACGAAAGUUUGGUGAAGAAUCGAUCUUGAAUUGGAAGCUCCCUUUAAUUUUUGCCUAAUCGAUCUUAAAUCAAUCUCUAAGUAUUCAUGUGUUUAUUAUUAACACAUGGAAGAAUCUGAAUGGGUAUAUACAUCAUCUUCUUGUGAGAAAUAGAUUCGUAAAUACAAAAGAAUUUAUUUUCUUUUUUAAACGAAUAUCAAAGAAUUUUUAGGUACAUAUAUAUGUCAGGAAUCAACCAUCUAGAAUCGAUACUUAUUCACUUAUUCUCUCGUUCCACUUGUCCUCAAUUUAAUAUUAGUUUUUAUUAGUAACAAAUAAACUUGUCACAUAAAGAGAGCAAAAUGUCUAAGGAUUUAAUGUGGCAAAAAAUUAAACGGUCCAUGUCUUCGAGUUCGGUCGAGCGGCCAUUUCCGGUGAUCAGCUCAUGCAUUUUAUGAAAGGCAAUGGUGAUGACUGAGACACAAUCCGAAUUGUGGCAGGACGAUGCAACCAAAAAAUGAUGAAGGUAUAAGGCUGUUGACAAUCCUUAUAUAGAAUUGACUAGCGACGUCGAGUAAGUUAAAGUCUAUUAACCAACCCUGCUGCAUGCACUUAAUCGCACUAAUGCAUUUUUAUUUUUAGCAGAAACACAUAACCUCUAUUAAAUUUUGGGGAUUUCUUAUAAUUUUCAUCAACAAUUUCAUAAGUAUUUGAAAUUAUGUCCGCGAUGUACUACGAUUUUGAACAACCUAUGAAGAUUAAAACAAUUGGGAGAUUGGUCUUGCACAUCUGAAGAAUAAGUUGAAGAAGUAGAAGAACCAACAUGAUCUCAUGGAACUCAGGUAAAAUCAUGCAUGUGCAUUUCAUGAUUUUUCACAGAGGAUAGCAGUAUCACUUGUCAUCCUAAAAAUCUGGGUUUCUAGCUUUUUGAUCUUUUGUUCUGUUGUCUUAUGUUUAAGUUUCUUUACCCUUGUGACAUUAAUUUUAUGUUUGGGAAAGAUCCUAGUUUGAAUUUCAAAUUGACAACAAGAAUAUUUAAAGGUCUUGCCUUUGUGCUCAAUUUAGUUUUGGGUUUGAUGCUUUUGUCUCAACCGUGACUCAUGGUUUAGAGCUCUAAGGCUAUAAUUGUGUUUGUGAUACACAAACCAAUAUAGCAGCUGUCUUUAUUUGAUAUCAGAGAAAAAGUGAUUUGCUAAACCAAUGUGGUAUUAUGUUUUUGGAAAAAAGUUUGCAAAACCUUUUGUCUCUUGCUUUAAAUCAAACAUUGUUUAAGAUAGUUUUGUUUGUUUCUUUCUUGGCUUAGGACAUCUGUAUAUGCCCUCUCCCUUUCAAAGUUUGGCCAAGGACAAAAGUCCAAAACUCUUUCCUUGCUUUGGCCCUCGUGCCUGCCCUCUUGUCGCACCUCUUUGGCUUGUGUUUCUCUCUUGUUAGAGCACUCCAUCAGCCUAUAUAUACUGAGAAAGGCUGCCUUUGCUCAAUGGUUGUCAAAAUGUAGUUUUUACAUUUGCAUUGUUGGGUUUUGGUUUUCCUUUACAUUGUUCAUUAGUCUCUAAGUUUUCCUUUUGUGAUUAUAAACCUUAGAGCUGAACAAAACAUUUUCUUUCUCAUAAACUCAUUGCAUUCUGCAUACCAUGAGAUCAGUUGGUAAUGCAGCAACCUCGGAAGUGUUCAUGAAAGAAGCAGCUAAGGAUAGCUGAGUUCUGAUGUAUCCCGCUGAGGUAGCUGGAUUCAUGAAAGAAUCAGUUUAGGAUAGGUGAGUUUUUGAGAGUGAAACUUCUGAGAAGUGUUAUAAAAGAAUCAAUUAACUGAUAGCUGAGUUCUGAGUUGAAACUUCUUAUAUAUUCAUGUGUGGCCACUUAGAGACAAGAGAGGUAGAUCUAGACUAGUUUGAGACUAGGUAGGAUAGCAAGUCAUUGUUGUUUCCUAUACUAUAAUCUUGUAAGGAGUGAGGUACUCAAAAACAAGAAAGAAAAUAUAGAUCUAGACUAGUGGGUAGUUUAAGCAGGAGAGCAAAUCGUUGAUGUAUCCCUAGACUAUAAUCUUGUAAGAAGUGAGUUUUACAUAGUGAAAAAGUUUGUCCCUCAAGAGUUAGGGGCACGCAGUUUUUCUCUCUGGUUGUAGGGUUUCUACGAGUAAAAAAUAUUUUGGUGUUCAUUAUUAUUUUACUGCAACUUUUAUUAUUAUCACUGUGUAUUUGUUAUUCAGGAUAGCUAUAACCCUUGCUAUUCCUGAGAACGAAUUUAUACGGAAAAAAAUUGUUAAGGGCCUAUUAACCCCCCCCCNNNNNNNNNNNNNNNNNNNNNNNNNNNNNNNNNNNNNNNNNNNNNNNNNNNNNNNNNNNNNNNNNNNNNNNNNNNNNNNNNNNNNNNNNNNNNNNNNNNNNNNNNNNNNNNNNNNNNNNNNNNNNNNNNNNNNNNNNNNNNNNNNNNNNNNNNNNNNNNNNNNNNNNNNNNNNNNNNNNNNNNNNNNNNNNNNNNNNNNNNNNNNNNNNNNNNNNNNNNNNNNNNNNNNNNNNNNNNNNNNUUCCUAGGAUCUUUAAAUGAUGAUUAUGAAUUUAUGAUGGAGACAAUGCAUUUGUGUUAUCAAUUCGUGUUUGUGAAAGGCAGUGGCGAUGACUGAGAGACAUACCGAGUUGUGGUAGGAUGGCACAACCGCACAACAUAAAAUGAUGAUUAUGAAUUUAUGAUAGAGACGAUGCAUUUGUGUUAUCGCUUUCGAGGGACAGGUGCUCACUCCUAGAAUGAGGCCUGCAUAUGUGGGCUAUAAUAAGAAUUGUGUGUGGAAAUGGGCCAUGCUGUUCAGCCCACCUUUGAAAUUUUAAAAUAUUGCGCCGCGCUCUUUUCCGCGAAAGGUUGAAGUCUCUGUUUUCAUCCCCAAUUCCAAAUACUGGGAAAUUCCCAAAUGAAUGGGGGAAUCAUUCGGGGAAAGAACGUGUUGGAUAUUAUAAGACAAUUUGUUUCUAAUUUUUGUCAUAGAUCGUUUAGCCGGGGCUAUAUUUUCUUCUCUAUUAGUUCAUAGAAGCUAGGAGAAGAUGCAGAGUUGCAAGAGUUUGGGUUACAGCUUUUCGGAUUUGAGAGGAAUCAAAGCCUAUAGAACUGUUAUGAAUUGAAAACUAACCUCUUACCUUGAGCUAAUGUAAUCAUAAUGCGACAAUUAACUGAAUCAAAUAGUAUUGCUCUCGCUCUUUUCCGCGAAAGUCAUGUCUCUGUUUUAAACCUCAAAUCCCAAAUCAAAACUAAUGUAAUACAAACUCAAUCCAGCAGAGUAAACUGGAAAAUUUGUUUUAGUUAUUAUCUUAUUACAACAAAAGCCUUCAUUUUUUAUUCAAUCAGGUGUAUCAAGUCUGUGGCAGCUAUAGAAAUCAAACAGGUACCUCAUUGGUAUGGUUAUGGUUCUGGGCUUCAUGCUCUGUCUCUCGCCCACCAUUCCUGAUGAUCAGGUCUUUCAAUUUCUGAGAGGCACGAACAACUGCUGCGAUUGCAUUACUUUCGGAAGAGUGUUUUCAGAGACUGGUAAGACUUGCUCACGAACCAUACAAGGCAGAUGCACCAGAAGAAGAGUAGAAUCAUUCCGAAAGGUUCAAUAAGGACGAGUAACUCUAAAAUCAGGGACAGGCUUCCAAGUAAGAUGGUGAUUUUGAUCAUCAGAUCUUCCAAAUCUGCAUCAUUGUUAUCAGCUAGGAUUGCCAGAACAAUCAAAGAGAGGAUGUAAAUGCAUGUCACAAUGAUGAAUACGUUCAUCCGCUGAGAGCCGUAGACCGUCGCAUAUGGAGACACAUUGGGAAACUUGAGUUGCAGGCAGAAUCCCAAGACGCCGAUGAGAGAAAUUAUGCAUGUAUGUAAUUUCACUAUAGAGUAUCCCUGAAGAGCAGCCUCCCUCCUUGUGCUGGUGCUAUGACAGAGAAAAGUAACUUAGUUAAAAGUUGCUUUAUAUCAAUGUCAAUCAAAUUAGUCACUGGGUGUGGAAAAAAAUGAUAAAAACAGCAUAAUUGGAUGAGGAAGUGGAUGUGUAUAGUCUUUGUUACAAAUCGAACAGUAUAAAUGAGUAAUAGCAAAUUGAUACGAUUGGAAACAAAGAUAUAUGUCGAUAGAAAAGACUUUGGCGCCUCCCAAGAACCCGUAGAUAUCUAUUGAGGAAAACAGGGGCCUCUCAACUUUUUUAAUCCGGCACGAGCCCUACAAUGCUGGAUACUAGCAAUCUAGCAUAAGCAGACCAAGUGCUAGCUCAGCUCUUAACUAGCCCCGAACUAAUUACAGGCUAAAUUAAUCAAUAUAUUACGCCAAUUAAAGCUACUUUUAUGAAAGAAUUUGAAUAAACGCUUUGAUCGAACUCCUCAGGAAUGUGAAGAUGCACAACAGCAUUAUAUGAGAUAUAUCCACAGAGGAGUGAAGCAGAGGCCUCAGAGCAAUUGAGCGUAUCUCAUGAGAUUUAUAAUCCAAAGACAGCAUCUACAGUUCAACUGCAAUUUUGACAUAAAUAGAUUUGCAUCCUAGCUGCUCAUGGCUAUGAUCAGGCUGCUCUCUGCUUUAAACAACCCUCUUAAAAUCAAGUACAAGAGAUGCGUAGUAGACCUAAGGAAAAUAAAUAGUAGAAAGCAAGUACAAGAGAUUAAAAAGCAAGUGAAUCUAUUUUGAGCUCAGAUGCACAGAAACGAAACAUGUCUAUAUUACUAACACUUGAGAGGUAACAGAAGCGUUGUCCUCCAUUCCAGUCGGCUGUUUGCCUUCUGAGGCGUUUCUACGUUACAUUUCAAGAACUCAAUCGCGAUAAGAAAGAGGAGAAAGGCCUGCAGUUUGGGUAGUAGGGGUUGGCAGUGCGGUCUGCAGGACCCCGAUCCGUCUCAUUAUGUCAUUGUUUUUUUUGUUUCAACAUUAUGUCUUUGUUUUUUGAAUCAUUAUGUGGGCUGGACUCACACCGACUAGACCUAGAGAUUAUUGCGUGGCCUGGUAUUUUGUUAAUUGUCCUAUUGAUUUGGCCCGUUUAUGUCAUAUUGGAAGAAGGAGAGGAGAACCGAAAAAUUCUGAGGCAGAAAUCUUUUCAACUUGGUCUAAUUAUGUACAGAAUUACAAACUGAAAACAUAGGCAUGAAAUAGAAAUUACAGUGUUACACCGGUAGUUCCUUGCUGAGGUUACUGGUUUCAUCAUGCUCUGUCGAAUAGCGGCUCCUCUUGAUCAAAUCCUUCAAUUUCUCAUAAGCACGACCGAGUCCAGCAACUGAUCCCAUCAAACGGGCAUUUAGUGAGAUCAGUUUCACUUGGAAUUCACCCAAAGCUAGAAUAAGAGCUGCAACUGCUCUUUUGCAUAGUGUUUUAGACAGUUGGUACGAACCAAUUGCAGUGAUCAUCAGAUACAUGCUCUAGAAGAAGAGUGUGAGCCAUCCGAAAGGCGGAAACAAGAUGAGCAACUCUAAAAUAGAAGCAAGAGUUCCAAGCAAGACGCCAAUCUUAUUCAUGAAUUCACCAAAGUCUCUAUUACUCUGAUUGAUUUGGAGUAUCAUGACACUUAAUAAUCCGAAGUAAAGAGAUAUGCAUAGGCGGAAGUAUUCAAGGACCAAGGGGUGCCAUGGCACCCCUCCAACUUUUAUCUCAAUGUGUUUUACUACAAAAACUUGGCCGAAUUUAACCAAACCUAACUUAAACCAUAUACAUUGGCACCCCUCACUCCCUCACGUUUUAGAAGCUCUUGUUGUUUAGUUAUGCUAAUAACUUCUUUUAGAAAGCGUUUCUUAAAGAAAGUAGUUAAUUUAUUCCUAUUCUUAGUACAAUUAUGCUUUUACCUUACAAAUUAUUUUAAUUAGAUCACUGAAACUUAAUGUUUGUAUAUAUUGUACUUCAUAAAUAAUGACAGCGUAUUUAAUAUAAAAAUGAUGUUUAAUUGAGUCUUUUCAUUUUUGUUCUUACAUCUGUCAAUAUGGGUAAAUGAUCGACAAUUCAUGGACUCUUCAAGAGAAAAAGUGUCGAAUCUAAAGCUUGUAUAUUAAUGCAUAUUUAUUAUUAUUGAGGAACUCUAAUAUCAAAGCAAUAGUUCUCAAAAUCCUCCUAUAUCAGCGAAAAUUAACUCUAAUACAAUGAUUUUCGGGAUAUGCAAAAGCGAUGAGUUAAUUUAUGUAUAAUUUAGUUUAUGACUUUAUUAUAUAAUAGUAAGUUUUCAGCCAUCAAGUUUACCCUAUAUUUUUUAACAUUCUUAUAUUGGCCCCCCUCAGAUAUGAUUUCUGGCUCCGCCUAUGGAGAUAUGUCGGUAAUAAAUAGUUUCAUCAGAAUAGUUCUGCGACAGUCUGUCACAAGUGUAGGCGCAUUUGCGAACUCCAGUGGGAGGCAAAGCCCUAAAAUAGUGACGAGGGAGACUAUGCACUUGUGCAGUGCCAGAACAGAACUUCUCCAAAUUGCAAACUCCUCCAUUAUCUUGCUGUGAUGAUCAUAAAUUCGUAAUUCAUGAAUCAUGAGAGUAUUAAUUGGAGUAUAAUGUCAUUGAAAUUAUAUGUAAUAAUCAGCAAGAAAAGGAUUAGUGAAACAAAAAAAUUUAAACAAAAUAUAUAAUCAGCAGGGGAUACAGGGUCCCCUGUCUUAUUUUCAUCAAUAUUAGUGACAUAUCUCUGAGUUCUUAAUCAACAAAUUACUCGAACACCCUGAAUCUUUAGAUUUAAGAAGAGCUCUCAAAAAUACAAAAUCUAUACAUGAUGCUAACAAAUGAAUAUCCUAUUAACAAAUUAAGAGAACUGGUGCCAGAUGCCAUAGUUCAUAUCACAGAAUGUGGAAUCUUUGACGAAGUCCAUUUCCGAAGAAAAAAAUAAGAGUAACAAGAUAUUUGAAGACGCUAGAGUUACAAAUUUAGAGAGAUUCUGAACACUUUAAUGCUUCCAUUUCAUCUAAAAACUUUGUUAAUAUAUUGUUUAGUUCACUAAGGAGGUGGGUGUGCGUAUCAAUUUACUUGAGUAGAAGAAAUUGAAUUGCUAAAACCAAUAGCCAGAAAACACGUUACAUCAUAUGUCAGGCUCUAUAGUCUAUACAAUCUGUCGAUAGUGACCUACAAACACUAUGACCGAUAACCUCAUUAAAAAUAAGCUCGAGAAAAACCUCAAGCGCAGGAAACAAAACCAUAACACUUAAGUUCCAGAAAAGAAUAAACUAGCUAGCUGUUUCCAAACAUAGUGGUUUUGUUUUUCCAACAGAAGUUACAGAAUAAACUAGCUAGCUGCCUCAUUCAAAUAUUUCCAACAGAGUGGUAAUAUUUGAAUGAUAAUAUUUUCUGCUUCUGAAUUAUAAGCUCUUUAAUGUGAUCCUGGGGAGAAAAAGAAGAACUAGCAAUAACUGUAUAUAUAUUGGCAAACUGAAGACUAGCAGCAAACAUGAUCCUUAGGACCAACAGAGCAACCAGGAAAAAGAAAAAACCAAGUAGAACUGUAUCUAGAGAGAAGUAACAAAUUUGAAUCAAGGAAGACCAAAACCAAAGCCAAAAGUAUAUAGUAGUGAGAGGAUAUACUAACAAUGAUAAACGUUGAGACUUGAGAGUUUAAGUGCCCUCCUCCAUUAAUUCCACAUACAGCUUUCUGGGAGCUCUUGCUCUCGGAAAAGACAAUAUGUAGGGGAGACUAGGCAAACAAAAAAAAAAAAAACAAGACGUCAGGUUGAUCUGAUAAAAAUAUAUUAGACGUCUUUUUCUGCUUUUGCGUUUUCGUUUUCGUUGCAUCCGACAUUCACCAGACGAAAAUGUCAAAAAUGUCCAGACGAAUUGAAGAUUUCUGUUGAAUCGAAAUCAAGGAUCAUAGGAGAGGAGCGUAAUUUUGCGUAAUCUUCCGAGUCUUCGCGACUUGGAGAUGAUACUGGACGUCUUUUCCUGCAGUUCUUAAUUUGUUGAUAGCAGACGUGUUUCCAAUUUUUUAGUAGUAGAAUCAAGGAUACUAAUCUGACCAGGGAAAAAGAAUCAAGGAAACUAAAAACGCGGAAUCCAUCAAAUCUUACAUCACCAAUUUUCAUACAUGUUAAACACUUAUGGCACCGAGCACAUUUCGUCUUCUAACUCUUCUAUGAAUACAUUCCCUUUUGGGCUUUUUUUAUCCCGUUGGUUCUCACAUGAAUCUGAGUUAUAUGAUUAACCAGGUACACCAUAUGACGUGGUGUUCCGGAUAUAGAGAAUAAUUACUCUACCUAAAAACAUGGAUAUACUGUGCAACCAAUGUAAAAUCAUUAGAUUAUUCUUUAUUAAGAUUAGUUAUUUUUGCAUGAUGUCAAAAGCGGGGUCUACUACAUUUUUUUUUUUAAGUUUGAAACCUAAUCAAGUUGGGAGGUUCAGCCCUACGUCCGGUUUCAGUUAUUUUAUUGAAAAAAAAAAACAAAAGAGUACAAAGGGUUUACUACAUCACCGCAUGCAUAUGGGUCAUGCUGAUCCGGCCCACUUUGAAUAUUGAUCCCGCUCCUUCUAAUACCCAAUAUUUAGUCUCUGUUUUCAGCUCCAAAAUUCCGAAUGUCAAAUCUCCUAUCGAAAAUUGCCAUCUUCGCUUCAGCUAGUAUAAUUAAUCAUAAUGAUAAUGCGACAGUUAACUGAAUCGAAUAGUAUUGCCGAAAGUGAUGUCUCUCAGUCUCUGUUUUAAACCCCAAACAAAUCCCAAAUCAAAAUUAAUGUAUUACAAACUCAACAGCUUAAGAUUGAAUACUUUUCACUACUAGAAAAAUCUCUACUAGCUACCCCUUUUCAGUUCAAAGUAUUUGGGUGCCCAAAGUAGAUUACUAAUUUGGAUUAGUGCUUUGAGCACAGUUGGGAUCCGACGAGAUAACUAAUAUGGAUUAACAGGUGGGGACAAAUUGGAAUGAGUGUGUAUGACAUUUGAUUCGGAAUCUGUCAGAGAAGGUGUGAGGAGUUGUGGAUUAAGGAUUUCGAGGGUACUUAGCAAUUUCGAGGACUUGAUCGUUUCUAGUUAAAGUGUUUGCCGACUUUAUUAGAAAAAAGAAUUGGUAUGAGGAUCGAGUAACUAUCGACAUUCCAGAAGCAUAAGAAUAAUGAUUUCAGAAAGCAAGUCAUUGUGUUAGUAAUUUUAAUUAGCGUCGGAACUAAAACUUGGAUUCCAGGUAGGGUCUGUCGGGGAACUUUUUUUAAAAUCGAUAAUUAGAUUAUAAUUGAAAUGAGUGAUUUGUGUGACAUUGAUUGAUUAAUUCUUAAUUGUUAUCAUUUUCGAUAAAGUAUAUGAUAUCAUUGAUUUAUGUGGUCGAUGUUAUCGCUUUUCAUUAAAAACAUAUGGUCGAUAUUGAAAUGCGAGUAUUGAUACUCAAUUGAUAUGCAUAAUGCACUGAGGCAUUGUGAGAUUAGUGAGAAUAACGAUUAUGGAGAUGUGAGAAUGAGAUCGAGAAAAUAAAGAUACAUUUUGUGUAGUUGAGUUUCCUCAUAGGUUGUCCAAAUCUAGGGUAGCCCAUACAUGCACAAGUUUAGGAAAGUAUGCCCUUUGAUAGCAGACAUCGAUAAAACGAUCUUUUGGGUUUCAGGUUUGGAGAUCAUGAGUAUAACAAGAUGACUAACAAAAAAGGUACAAGUGGUGAUAUAUUACUGAUUGUUAAAUCAUAUAUUCGAGACAUCUGAGUCACUUCCGGUUGGUAAAAUAUACGGUAUGGGACGUGUAGGCUCACAUGUCUUUGAUGUAUGAACUCAUUAGCCAAUAAUUGAGGAAGACAUUUAUUAGCAUACAUGCAUUGGAUUGUUGUUAUAUUUGACAUUACUUGAUAACUUGAUAGUUUGGCAUAGUUAAAAUUUAAGAAUAACCUAAAAAGGUUUAGCCCUACUGAGCUUAAGCUUACCCCUAUAGAUUUUUAUUUAGGUACGUAUGAGAACACGUCUAGAAGAUUGACGUUUAGCUGACGUGUACGAGAGUAUAAAAGAGUUACGGAAGAUUAAAAAUGAGAUAUAUAUUUGCGAGUUUGUAAUUAUUUUUGUUAUUACAAUUUGUUUUGUUUUUAACAAUUUUUGAAAAAGUAUUUGAAUUUGUAUUAUUUUCUUUUACUUUUCCCGCUCACGUCUCAGAUUUGGUGUUGAGUGCUUAGAAAUCAUUGACACCGGAUCCGAAAUGUGACAGAAACAGUGCGACAACAAAUAAAUGUAGAUAUAGGUUAAAUUUUGCAUCUGUGCCUUCAUUUGGCUACCGUAUUUCUUUGGUAUAAUUCUGAAAAGCCAUGGUAAAGAUUCUCAAAUUUGUCAUCUUCUAUUGGUCGUUAGAUUUUUUAUUGUUGUUUACGACAAAGAGAACGUGUUCUUUAUGGCCAACUCGAUUUAUUUGCAUACAGGGCAUUUGCUAGUGUGCUACGUACAAGCCUUAGGCCUCAGCCAUAAUAUAAAGUCCUAAUCGAGAUAAUCUCCCCAAGCGAGGCCUUCAUGUAACAACAUGUGUCAUUAUGAUAUCUCUGUGUUAUCUGUUGACGUAUGAAUGAAGUAACGCAAUAUAAUUGCAUGUUUUUUUGAUACGAAUAUAAUUGCAUGUUGAACUGGUAACAUAUAUACAGUUUUUAAAAUAUGCUCCAGAAGAAGAGUACCAGCCAUCCAAAGGUGGAACCAAUUGAAGAUCUGCAGUUCUAAAAUGAAAGCAGAAGUUCCCAACAAGAUGCUGAUUAUUAUGAACUCCUCUGAUUCUUUACUACUAUGAUGAGCUUAGAGCAUCAUGACAUUGACACACCUAGUGACCGAAAGAGCAUUUCAAUGAAAUUCAGCCUCAUCAGCGGGCAGUGCCGCUGCAGUCUGGAGGCGAAUUUGCAAACCUUUGAAAUUUCAAAUUUGUUUGGAUGCAGUUUUUCAUGUGGGCUGGAUAGACAUUUGUUACUGGACUGAUUAAUCUAACCCGUUCUAAAAGCCUUGUUUAUUGGGCCAGGCUUGUCCGGUCCAGAAGCAAAAGUACUGUUGAUCCCCGCUCUUUUCCGCGAAACUGAUAAGUACUUUGGAUGGAAAAUGGGCCCUUUGCCGGUUCGGCCCACCUUUUGAAAUUUUAAAAUAUUGCAACCCCGCUCUUUUCUGCGAAAUUUAAAGUCUCUGUUUACAGCCCAAUUCCAGAUACUGGGAAAUUCCCUGAGGAAUGGGGAAUUAUUCUCGGAAAUACCAUAUUGGAGAGAUAUCUCUCUUGAAAAAAUGGCGUAGAUGCUUAAGCUGGGCUGGAGUUUCUUUCAUAAAUGCUGGGAGAAGAUGCAGAUUUACAUGAGUUGGUUUACCGCUUUCGAGAUUUGAGAUGAAUCAAAGCUUAUAGAACUGUCAUGCAUUUAAAUCCAUUCUCAUCCUUUGAGCUUGUGUAAUCAGAAUGCGACAACUGACUGAAUCAAGUAGCAUUAUUGCUCGCGUUCUUUUAGGAAACGUGAUAUCUCUGUUUUAAACAACAAAAUCCCAAAUCAAAAUAAAUGAGUUACAAACUCUGUCCAGCAAGAAAAAUAAAAUAUAUUCGAAUUAUUAGUUUAUUACAACAAAAGCGUGAAAUAAGAUGUCCAAAUGUUUAGUACGAUCAGGUGUAUCAAGAGUUAUCAAGUAUAGAUAUUGCAUACUCUGUCACGUUGGUGUGAUUCUGAUUCUGGGAUUGAUGCUCUGUAGCGCGCCUUUCAUUGCUGAUGUUCUGGUUCAGGGGCUGAAGCUCAAUUUCGCGCUUGAGAUUUCUGAUUCUCAUCUUUUCGGCUUCAUCAUUUCUAAUCCUCCUGCCGCUGUUCCAAUCACCCAGCGUCUGUCCGAAUUCUCCCAAUAAGGCUUUAAUACCAUGUUUUACUGCAUUAUUGCACAGUGUUAGCAGAGACUGGUGAUACUUACACACGAACAAUAAAAGGCAGAUGCUCCAGACGGAGAGUAUAAACAAUCCAAACUUUUCUGUAAGGAUGAUCAAUUCGAUAAUCGGAGGCAGGUAUCCAAGUAAGAGGAAAACAUAUUUCAUCAAAUCUUCCAAAUCUGCAUCAUCACCGCCACCAGCUGUUGGAAUCAUAUUUAUACAGAAAACGUGAGCCGAUAUCGAGAUAAUUAAUAGGUUCAUCAAGCGAGUGCCGUGGACUGUUUCAUAUGGAGAUCCCUUCUGUUGGAUGCAGAAGCCUAAGAAGCCGAUGAGAGCAUAUGUAUAUGUAGGAUUUGUAGGCGAUGCCACAGAAGCACCCUGCCCCGUUGUCUUGGUGCUACGACAAUCACAUCUAUAUCAAUCAAAUUAGUAGAAAGACUUGGUGUCAGUAAGGAACUAAGGGUAUGAUCGAUAAAAAAAAUAAAAUAAAAAAACUCUAACUAGAUGGGACUUCCCAUGGGCUUUAAUAUCAUUAAGAGAUGUAAAAUCAAUCAAAACUGUUUCGUUAUGAGAUAUCAAUAAGAGAAUACCAUAUAGAAUACCAUCGAAAAACAAAGAACAUGUUGAGAAAAAUGAUUGACAUCUCCCAAACCAGUCCAUGUUUCUUCACUAUUUGUCUAUCAAAUGUAACACUAGAAUCAUGAAAUAGCACUAGAAUACAGAUAUAUGAGAAUCAUGAAAUAACACUAGAAUCUACGAGUAUGAAAGAGAAAGAGAGAAUAGAUCGAUGAGAUUGUAAAAAUGUGUUUUGGCAGUAUUUAGUAUUGACACACUCACAGUACUCCACUCGAGCUAUCCACCAGAAACUUUUGAGUUUUUACUACAAAAUUUGAUCUAAAAUUACAGAAAAGAUAAAGUAAAGGAGCUAUAAGUACACUAUUUCGUAAACUUCAGCAGAAAUAUAAAGUAACUAGAAUAACAAAAACUGAAAUCCUUAUUAGUCUGUUCCCAGGUUGCCUGUAAGAGUAUCUGACCAGUUUAACUUGAUGAAAGAUUAACCAGACACUAAUGAAUAGAACUUCGACUACAGAAAAUUGAAGACAAUCGAAUUAAAGAUUAAUUUGUACUGACCUCUCUAGUCCUGCAUUAUCAUUUUGGUGGCCGUCUCUCUCCGUACUUGUGCUGUGGUUAUAUAUGGUCAUGAGAGGAUUAAUCAGAUUGGAAGUACAUCACUAUUCCAUACUUGAAUAGAAAAUUAUGUAAGAAAUACUGAAAUACAGAGCAGUUAAUUAAGGAGCAAAAAUCUUUCUUAAUCAUCCUAGACAUACAGAUAGACACAUGUCGGAAGUUCAUGUUGUCCUCUGUGAACUCCUAUGGAAGAGAGGCAGAAAGCUGGGUAGAAAUGGGAAUACAAUUAAUACUAAGCAUUUAAGCAAUCUGCAGUCCCCAACCCAAAUGAAACUCCGUUUUUGGUUUUAAGAGAACACUAAAAGCUCCAUUUUGGAUUUGUAGAACUUAAGUUUGAAUUUGUUGGAAUUAAUGCACAUUGAUCAACUCUAAAGAUGUCUAGAGAAAUCAAGGAAGCCCUAGAGUCGGCUAGAUUAAUCUAGAUCAUUGAGAAUAAUCAUGUACGUUAGCUAGCUUGUGUAGAAUCAUCUGGACUAAUCAUGCAUGUAAUUAACUAAGUUGCUAGCUAGAUGUACCUAGAUAUGUCCAACAUGUCGGUGGCACUAGCCAAGCCUACAAGGUCGGCUAAACAAGACUAUAAAUAUAUGUACCACUUGUAAUACAAGUAACAAACUUAUGAGUGAAUGAAAUUACUUUGAAGCAAGCUUGUAAACCAUCCUCCUGUAUUCCAUAUCCUCUAUACUACCAUCUCCUCUUAUUCUCCUAAACUAGUUUGUCUAAACUACUUUUCCUAGUUAACAUAUUCCUCCCAAGUCUAGCUCCUACAUACGAGAGUCCUAAAUACAUUGUCCUAACCCACUACACACAUUUCUAACAGUGGUUUCAGAGCCACUUCUAAAAACUAACAGAAUAGUCCAGCUUGUCAAGAACAUAUCUCCGAGUUCUCAUAGCACAAAACUUUACUCAGAUCAAUUUUGGGCAAUCUAAAAGUGAAUACUAUAAGGGACGACUGUAUAUGAGUACUAUGCAAUUAAUCCCCCCGUAAUCGUAUACAUGUAAAUUAAUCAAGAGAAACUAUUUGUUGUAGUAUAUAUAUGUUCUAAUUACAGCAGCCUCUGUGAUCCAGCAUGCCGUGAUCGAGGGGUUGAUUCAAGAAGACUAAGCCGUAGAAGUGGCCAAAGCCAUAGAUGAGGAGUGGAAGACGACGGCCGUCUGUGGAAGAGGAAGAGCAGGAGGACUUGAUUCAAGAGGAAGAACGGUUAGCAGCGCGGGUAGGGGAAGAAUUUUGCUAUAUGUGUAUGUUUUUCAAGAAUGAUGAAGCAGCAGAUAAGAGGAAGAGAGCGGCGACGCGGUGGAAAAUGACGCGCACGCGUGGAAAAAUAGGCUAGCUAGCAGUGCGGGGAAGAAUUUUACUCUCUGUUUGAAGAAUGAGAAGCCAUAGAAGAGGAAGAGAGCGCGCGGAGGCACAGUGGAAGAUCGACUCGCGCGCACGCACUUAGAAAGAGGAAGACUAGCUAAGACGCGUGGGGGCGUAGUGAAAGAGAGCGGCGGCGCAGUGCGAUAUGACACGCCGAGAAAGAGGAAGACUAGCAGGACGUACGUGAUUGAAGAAGAAGAUGUCGUUGAAGCCGACGUAGCGGUGUAUAGGACGGCGGAGUAGAAGAGAACGAGGGCGAAGCUGGAGAAGAAGAGGGCAGUACAAAGGCCGGAGAAGAAAAGGAAGACACGAAGAUGUGUUUCAAGAGACUAAGGUAUACGGUAUACCAGAGGAAGAGGAGGGCGCGGUUGAAGAUGACGUUCCGAUAAAAGUACGGCGGUGGAAUGAGGCGAGACGUACUCCAUCUCUAGGUAAGAGGUGGAGCACGUCAACACAUUAAAACAACAGUUUGAGAGUGACAAAUCCAGAAAAGUUAGAAAGAAAACUAGCAACUUACAGUAGAGGGCGUUGAAGAUCUUCGGCAAUGCUGCCCAUUAUAGCAGCUUUAGGGUUUUGGAGUUGAUUUGAAGUAAGAUUAAUGCAAGAGAUGCCUCUUAUUUAUAGAGGUCGUCAUGCCCGCAGGGAUCCCAGAAGUGUGACUCUGUCACCUGGGAACAUUGGUAUCAUCAAUGGCGAGGAGAACGGGGUUUUCCAUAUAUAUAUAUUUGGUUCCAACGUCAUUUGAGUUCCCCCGCACUUUAUUUUAUUUUUUUAUUUUUAGUUUUUUUUGGGUCAGAUAUAAGAUUUACUAAAGCCCAAAUGCAAAAGACUGGUUACAAGGGGAGCCAAGCCCACAACAUGUUCUUCGUUCAGCAUUAUACGAAGUGGGAAUCUUCAGUCAUAUAAGACAAAUCUAAAGAGAAGGUAUUGAGUAUUGACUGGGGGAAAAAGAAGAACUCACCCGUGAGAUGGAUGUAAGGAUUCACCCAUUGCGGAAGGUAGAAAUUGGGCAAUGAUGUGGAUCGCUUCAUCGGAUCUAUCUCUGAUCUCAACAUCUGAUGCAGGGACGUCUUCAGGAUUGAUUUUGCCGGUGUUUAGCUCUCAGAAGUGUCUGGCCCGCAAAUGAGAACGAAUAACAAAUUUUCCGUUCGGCCAGAAGCGCUGAACCCGUAAAGCGGAGGCUGAGUGUGCAAUGUAGGGUUGAUUUAUCUACCUUAAACGCUGCGCUUUCCUCAUAUCCACUGCCACAGCCACCUCUGAUCGAAUGCCAUUCCCUCCUCCGCCACGAUGUUUGGUUGCUUUCGUUGACUUGGAGUUUCCCAUUUGCUAGAUAGAGACAGUGGAUCUAGAUUCUGGAACUAACUUGUGAAUGCUUUUGGUCAACUGGCUAGUUGUCUUUAUUACUCUCUCAUUGUUGUCGUUAUUGGGUGGGCCAGGAUUUAUUGCAAAAACAUCGUACUUCUUGCCUUUCGGGCCCAAGUAGUAACUUCUGUUAAUAAAUUUGCUUAACUGACAAAAACCUUUCCGUCCAAAAGGAUGAACUCCCUUGCACGUACGCGCAUGGCGUCUUCCUUCUUCGUCCACUCAUAUGUGUGUGGCUAUGUGUUUCUUUAAGAAGCAAUCCAUGCAGAAAAACAAAAUGACCAAUCUGGAAAAGACUCCAACAGUUGAGAGAAGAGAAGUACUAGUCGUGGCGGAUAACUAACACGUGAAGCAACUGGAAUUGGUCUGUCUCACAUACUUAUCUAGAGUUAAUUUACUAUUUACAUAAGAAAGAAGAUAAGUUUAGAAAUCAACCAUCCGGAGUAAAUACCCUGAUUUAUCUAUUAUUUAUUUUUCUUUUCAAGUAAAUAAACGAACAUAAAAAAAAUGUGAAAACAUAAGAUGCUAAAGGUGUAGUGUGACGAAAGAUUAAACGGUCCAUGUCUUCGAGCUUGGUCAAGGGGCCAUUUCCGAUGAUCGGCUCCUGCAUUUUAGUGAAAGGUCAAUGGUGAUGACUGAGACACAAACCGAAUUGUGGCAGGACGACGCAACCUAAAAAAACUGACCGAAUUUAUAGUAAUGAAUUUAUGAUGGAGAUGCAUUUGUGUUAUUAAUUCGUGUCUUCGAGCUUGGUCGAGUCAUUCGAGUGGCCAUUUCCGGAUAUCAACUCCGGCAUUUUGUGAAAGGCAGUGGCGAUGACUGAGAGACAUACCGAGUUGUGGUAGGAUGGCACAACCGCACAACAUAAAAUGAUGAUUAUGAAUUUAUGAUAGAGACAAUGCAUUUGUGUUAUCGCUUUCGAGGGACAGGUGCUCACUCCUAGAAUGAGGCCUGCAUCUGUGGGCUAUAAUAAGAAUUCUGUGUGGAAAUGGGCCAUGCUGUUCAGCCCACCUUUGAAAUUUUAAAAUAUUGCUCCGCGCUCUUUUCCGCGAAAUGUUGAAGUCUCUGUUUUCAUCCCCAAUUCCAAAUACUGGGAAAUGAAUGGGGAAUCAUUCGGGGAAAGAUCGUGUUGGAUAUAAUAAGCCAAUUUGUUUCCAAUUUUUGGCAUAGAUCGUUUGGCCGGGGCUAGAGUUUGUUCUCUAUUAGUUCAUAGAAGCUAGGAGAAGAUGCAGAGGUGCAAGAGUUUGGGUUAGAGCUUUUCGGAUUUGAGAGGAAUCAAAGCCUAUAGAACUGUUAUGAAUUGAAUACUAACCUUUUCCCUUGAGCUAAUGUAAUCUUAAUGCGUCAAUUAACAGUCAAAUAGUAUUGCUCUCGCUCUUUUCCGCGAAAGUCAUGUCUCUGUUUUAAACCCCAAAUCCCAAAUCAAAACUGAUGUAUUACAAACUCAAUCCAGCCGAGUAAACUGGAAAAUUUGUUUUAGUUAUUAUCUUAUUACAACAAAAGCCUUCAUUUUUUAUUCAAUCAGGUGUAUCAAGUCUGUGGCAGCUAUAGAAAUUAAACAGGUACCUCAUUGGUGUGGUUAUGGUUCUGGGAUUCAUGCUCUGUCUCGCGCCCACCAUUCCUGAUGAUCAGGUCAUUCAAUUUCUGAGAGGCACGAACAACUGCUGCGAUUGCAUUACUUUCCAUUAAUCGGCGAUUCAAAUCAACGAGUUUCUGCUUCAAUUCUCCAAAGUCUCCUUUGAGAUGCUCAACUGCAUUUUGGAAGAGUGUUUUCAGAGAACGGUAAGACUUGCUCAUGAACCAUACAAGGCAGAUGCACCAGAAGAAGAGUAGAAUCAUUCCGAAAGUUGAAAUCAGGACGAGCAGCUCUAAAAUCAGGGACAGGCUUCCAAGUAAGAUGGUGAUUUGGAUCAUCAGAUCUUCCAAAUCUGUGUUAUUGCCAUCGGCUAGGAUUGCCAUCACAAUCAAAGAGAGGAUGUAAAUGCAUGUCACAAUAAUGAAAACGUUCAUCAGCUGAGAGCCGUGGACCGUCGCAUAUGGAGACACAUUGGGAAACUUGAGUUGCAGGCAGAAUCCCAAGACGCCGAUGAGAGAAAUUAUGCAUGUAUGUAAUUUCACUAUAGAGUAUCCCUGAAGACCAGCCUCCUUCCAUGUGUUGGUGCUAUGACAGAGAAAAGUAACUUAGUUAAAAGUUGUUUUAUAUCAAUGUCAAUCAAGUUAGUCACUGGGUGUGGAAGAAAAUGAUAAAAACAGGGGCUUCCUAAACAAUCGAAAGUGUUGGAUAUGGGAAAUGAGGAAGUGGAUGUGUAUAAUCUUUGUUACAAAUCGAACAGCAUAAAUGAGUAAUAGCAAAUUGAUACGAUUGGAAACAAAGAUAUAUGUCGAUAGAAAAGACUUUGGCGCCUCCCAAGAACCAGUCAAUAUCUGUUGAGGAAAACAGAGGCCUCUCAACUUUUUUUUUUUUUUUUAUCCGGCACAAGCCCUUCAAUGCUGGAUACUAGCAAAUAGCAAUCUAGCAUAAGCAAGACCAAGAGCUAGCUCAGCUCUAAACUAGCCCCGAACUAAUUCUAAGCUAAUUUAAUUAAUAUUGCACCGAUUAAAGCUACUUUUAUGAAAGAAUUGGAAUAAAUGCUUUGAUUGGAUUCCUCAGGAAUGUGAGAAUGCACAACAGCAUCAUAUGAGAUACACAGAGGAGCGAAGCGGAGGCCUCAGAGCAAUCUAGUGUAUCUCAUGAGAUUUAUAAUCCAAAGGCAGCAUCUAGAGCUGCAAUUUUGACAUAAAAGAGAUUUGCAUCAUAGCUGCACAUGCCUAUGAUCAAGCUGCUCUCUGCUUUAAACAACCUCUUAAAGAAAAUCAAUGAAAGUUCGUCUCUCUUACAAACAGAGAAUUCGUCGGCAGAAAUGCACAGUAGAAAUAAGGUAAAAUAAACUUUAGAUAGCAACUGCAAGAGAUCAAAGAGCGAAUGAAGCUAUUUUGAGCUAAGAUGCACAGAAACGAAACAUGUUUAUAUUACUAACACUUGUAAAUCUUGAGAGAUAACAGAAGCGCGGUCCUCCAUUCCACGGCCUUUUGCCUUAUAAGGGUGCGGAGCUCAAUCUCACUCUUCCUGAUUCAGCUUGAGAAAAUGAUGCAUUUCGAUCCCGAUAUGAAAGAGGAGAGACCAGUUAGGGCCGAUUAGCCGUCUUUAACCGGGCCGGUCACAUUUCGUCUCAUUAUGUCUUUGUUUUAUAUUGUGUUUUCUCUCUGUUUUCCUGAUCAAUUAUAGUUUGCUUGAGAGCUUGACUAUUACUUAUAAAACUAAUCACAAAAUCAUAUAUAUCAUCGAUGCAAUCAACUAACAAUUAUCGUAUAAAAAAAACUAACAAUUAUGAACGAUCUAAAUUCAGAUUUCUUUUGGUCAGAGACUCAGAGUGCGGGUGUUGUUGCUCAUCCAAGCCUCUUCAUAAUGUAUGUUCUGUAAAUAUUACUUCGGAAGUUCUUUUUAAAAAUAUCAGGUUCAUAAUGUUGUUACUUACCUUUCUAUUGAAAGUUUUCGUCUCCACUUCUCAAAAAUAUUACCUGCUACGUGACAACUUCUGAACUCAGAGGAAUCCAAUGAUUCCAAUCUGAUAUACAUGAAUUUUCUGCUGCUUGAAUUAAAUUUUACAAAACUGCAAAUACAUAGUUCAACCUGGCAGUUUAACCCAUUACCCGCUAACUGCCCGCUAACCGCCCGCUAAUAACCCGCUCAUUUCCGCCCCAUUACAGUUUUACACUAACGGGUUGACAACCCGCUAAGAACCCGCUAACUAACAGGCGGAAACAGGUUACCCAACAGAACCCGCCCAACCCGCUAAAGAAAAAAAAUAGAAAAUGACAUCCCACUACCAUAGAAGUUGUAAAACACAAAAAAACCAUCUUUCAACAGAUUUAAACAGAUAAGGACAUAUACUCAGGCCCACAAUGUAUAAUACCACACCCUGUCAGCAAUUUUUUAUGCAAAAUACCUAAAAAACCAUUCUUUUCUGAAAUAUCUACAAAACUGUCACUGGCUCAAAAUACCACUUCUCCACCAUUUUCAGAUCUGAUCUCUACACCGAUUUUUCUUCUUUUCUUCUUCUUCUUCUUCUUCUUCUUCUUCUUCUUCUUCUUCUUCUUCUUCUUCUUCUUCUUCUUCUCUUCUCUCUCUCUCUCUCUCUCUCUCUCUCUCUNNNNNNNNNNNNNNNNNNNNNNNNNNNNNNNNNNNNNNNNNNNNNNNNNNNNNNNNNNNNNNNNNNNNNNNNNNNNNNNNNNNNNNNNNNNNNNNNNNNNNNNNNNNNNNNNNNNNNNNNNNNNNNNNNNNNNNNNNNNNNNNNNNNNNNNNNNNNNNNNNNNNNNNNNNNNNNNNNNNNNNNNNNNNNNNNNNNNNNNNNNNNNNNNNNNNNNNNNNNNNNNNNNNNNNNNNNNNNNNNNNNNNNNNNNNNNNNNNNNNNNNNNNNNNNNNNNNNNNNNNNNNNNNNNNNNNNNNNNNNNNNNNNNNNNNNNNNNNNNNNNNNNNNNNNNNNNNNNNNNNNNNNNNNNNNNNNNNNNNNNNNNNNNNNNNNNNNNNNNNNNNNNNNNNNNNNNNNNNNNNNNNNNNNNNNNNNNNNNNNNNNNNNNNNNNNNNNNNNNNNNNNNNNNNNNNNNNNNNNNNNNNNNNNNNNNNNNNNNNNNNNNNNNNNNNNNNNNNNNNNNNNNNNNNNNNNNNNNNNNNNNNNNNNNNNNNNNNNNNNNNNNNNNNNNUCUCUUCUUCUUCUUCUUCUUCGCCGGUCAUCGCUCCGACCAAAUCGCCAGGAGGCGAGGAAGGGAGGAGGAACCGAAUAAUGAAAGGAUGAAUGUUGACUAAGGCUUCGCCGAAUCCAACCAGAUCUGAUUUGUUUAUUCUUCGAUCUCUACAACUUGGUUUACUCAAAGAUUCUUUGGAAUUAAAACCCAUAUCUUUUGAAUUUGACAGCAAAAAGUGAUCAUUUGUAGCUAAUUUGUGCUCAUGCUUCGUGCUGCUAUUGCAUUCUGCUAUGUGUUGCUGCUGCGUGUGAUGUUAGUGUGUGUUGUUGUGUGUUGCUGCUGUGUGUGUUGUUGUUGUUGUGUGUUGUUGUGUGCUGCUGCUGUGUGUGUUGUUGUUGUUGUGUGUUGUUGUGUGCUGCUACUGCGUGCUGUUGUGUGCUGCUACUGUGUGUGUUAUUGUGUGCUGCUACUGCAUGUGUUGUUGAUGUGUGUUGUUGUGUGCUGCUACUGUGUUUGUUAUUCUUGUGUGUUGUUGUAUACUGCUACUGCGUGCUGCUAAUGUGUGCUGCUAUGUGCUGCUACUGCGUGUGCUGUUGUGUGUUGUUGCUGCAUGUUGUUGUGUGUUGCUACUGCGUGUGUUGUUGCUAUGUGUUGUUGUGUGCUAUUGCUGCAUGUUGUUGUGUGUUGCUACUGCGUGUCUUGUUGCUAUGUGUUGUUGUGUGUUGCUACUGCGUGUGCUGUUAUGUGUUGCUACUGUGUGUUGUUAUGUGCUGCUAUUGCGUGUGUUGUUGUUGUGUGUUGUGUGCUGCUACUGCGUGUGCUGCCACUGCCUGUUGUUGUUGAUGUGUGUUGCUACUAUGUGUGUUGUUGAUGUGUGAUGCUACUGCGUGUGCUGCCACUGCCUAUUGUUGUUGAUGUGUGUUGCUAUUGUGUGUGUUGUUGAUGUGUGCUACUACUGCGUGUGUUGUUGUUAUGUGUUAUUACUGCAAGUUGUUGAUUCAUGUUGCUGCUACUGCGUGCUGCUACUACACUAAAUUAUUGAAAAAUCUGCUACUGUAUUCCAUUUACUGAAAAAUCUCAAAAGGAGAGACUUUUCUCUUCUAAAAGUAUAUUUAAUUAGUGUAGAGUUAGUUUAGUAAAUUAAAUCAUGACACAUGGCAUGUAGAGAAAAGAUUGUCCUUAAUUGUUAAAAACUGUCCUUAUUUGUUUAACAACAACACAAGUAGAUUUAUUUGUGUUUCAAAUCCUUUUAGAGGAUGUAUAUGUGAUUUGCUUAAAAAAAAAAGGAAGAAAAAAAUUAAAGCAGUUAGCAGUCUCUCUCUCUCUCUUCAGAUCGAAACAGUCACUCUCCCUCAAACCAGUCUCUCUCGAUCUCUCCCUCUUCAUAAACAAACCGUGCCAGUCUCUCUCCCUCUUCAGAUCAAAAUUCAGGUUGGUUUUUGUUUCCUUACUCUUCUAGAUUUAUUGUUUUUGGUCAAAAUUUGAACUGGGUCUGUUCUGUGGUUUCUUAAUUUUGUGCAUUUGGUGUUUGUGAGUUUGCUGUGUUUGGUUUGCUUUCUGGGCAAUAUCAAUUCAUGGAUUCUAGAUGAAUGAAGAUUGAUUUCAAUCAUCGUUUUGUGGUUCUUGUUUAGGAAAACGAGAGGAUCAGAGUAGUACUAAGAAAAUGGUGAGAAAAUAGGAAUGUGUUUUUGAUAAGGAAGCAUGUAAGUUUGCAGAGGUAUAUAUAGAGAAUAAAAACUGUGUGUGUGAUACUCUGGGUAGAUACAGAGAUUACUAUACGUAGAUAUUAGUUGGGCAGGUUAGGCUAGCUCAUAUUCAUGGUUUUCAUUCUUCAUUCAUAUGUACCCUGUAAAGUAAGAUUAUUUGCAAAUUGUGUGUAUUAUUUGCAAACUGUGGUGAGGAUGGAUGAUGAUGAUGAUAAUGUAUUAAUUGUUUUGUUUUCAGAGUAGUGGUGAGAAUGGAUGAUGAUGAUAUAUCAAUAUCAUUGGAACCAGAGGAACCCGCUGUGGUAGAAAGAGGAACAACAGAGGUUUCUGCUCAUAAGCGAAAGAAGACUUCUCGUUGUUGGUUGUCUUUUAAACAGUUACCUGUGAGUGAUGAUCAGAUAGAACGUGCAAAAUGCACUAAGUGUGGAGCCGUGUAUAAGUGUGACAAAGCGACAGGAACAGGUAGCCUUAUACGCCAUCAUGACCUAUGUUAUAAUAAGGAUAUUGUAGUGUCACCUCACUCUUCUACACGUUCUUCAAAGUUUUCGCAUGAAAAAUUUCGUGAAUUGAUUGUUGAGGCUAUUAUACGACAUGAUUUGCCAUUUCGUUUUGUGGAGUAUGAGGGGAUUAGAGCUGUGUUUCAUUAUAUUUCUCCUAUUCUUAAGUUGCCUUGUAGAAACACCGUUAAGUCACAUAUUACAAAGCUCUUUGAUAGUGAAAAGUUGAAGCUUCGUAGUAUUUUAAGUUGUGUUCAAGGGAGGAUUUGUUUAACUUCUGAUUUAUGGAGUUCUCAAACAACUGAUGGUUAUUUGACACUCACGGCACGUUGGAUUGAUUUGGAAUGGAAAUUGCAUAAGAAGAUAAUUAGCUUUUGUCGUUUUCCUCCACCACAUAAUGGUAUUGCUUUGGCUGAAAAGAUUAAUUCUUUGAUAUGUGAGUGGGAAAUUGAGAAGAAACUGUUUUCGAUUACAUUGGAUAAUGCAUCUGCUAAUGAUUCCUUUGUUGAGAAGUUGAGAACUCAGUUGAAUUUUAGAGGGCUACUCUUGUUAAAUGGGAAAUUUUUUCAUGUUAGAUGUUGUGCACAUAUCUUGAACUUAAUUGUUCAAGAUGGGUUGAAAUCUAUUGAUCAGUCAGUGAUAAAGAUUAUUGAGUGUCUCAAGUACAUCAAGGGUUCAAUGGCAAGAAAGGAAAGAUUUUUGGGCUGUAUUGAUCAAGUUGGAAUGGGAGGUAGUAGGAGAGCUUUGUGAUAAGACGUGCCUACUAGAUGGAACUCCACCUAUCUUAUGCUAGAUAGUGCACUCUUCUAUCGCCGUGCUUUGAUCAACUUUGCAUUAUGUGACACAGAUUUUAAGUGUUGUCCUUCUUUUGAUGAAUGGAUCAAGGUUGAGCAGACCUCGAGGUUCCUAGGAUAUUUUUAUGAUGUCACUUGCCUAUUUUCUGGAACCAAGUAUCCAACUUCGAACUUGUUUUUUCCCAAGGUAUUUAUGAUUCAGCACAACAUUCAACAAGCCAUGAAAGACAAAGAUGCAUUCAUGAGACAAAUGGCGAAUGACAUGAACCUCAAGUUUGAGAAAUAUUGGUCUGAUUAUAGCUUGGUCCUUGGUAUAGCCGUUGUGUUAGAUCCUCGACACAAGAUGGAUUUUGUAGAGUGGUCCUAUAAAAGUCUCUACGGUGCAGAAGGCUUUCAAGGACACUUUGUCAUCUCUCUUCAAUGUCUACGUGGAUAAGUGGUCACCCGACAAUGCAAGUGGAUUUAUGGGUGAGAGUUGUUCUCAAACAGAAGGUGAAGACGCCUUUUUUCAGGUACACUAAUUUUGUUCUUCAAUUGGUUAUGCAUUUGUGAUCAUAUGAUUUGUUUUCAUUUGAGUAUCAUUUUAGUUCUUUGGAAUGAAAAGCUAUUUGGAAUUCUUGAACAUAAGAAAUUGAACAUGAGGAGUGUGUAUUCUCAACUGUUAAAUGAAGCUUAGUUGUGGUAUUAUGGAAAUGUUAUUAAAAGGUGUUGAUUGAUGUGGAUUUGCUACUAUCUGAUAGGUUGUGUUUAAUAGUUUAUUUCUGUUUUAUUUGUAUUUUUUGUAGGAUUUUGAUGCUACUUACACAAGUGGUUCAAGUUUGAGUGUUAAAAGUGAGCUUCAGAAGUAUCUUGAUGAAGAAAGAUUGGAUAGAAAAAAGAAAGAGUUUGAUAUUCUUUCUUGGUGGAAAAUGGAACAAUUACGUUAUCCAGUACUUGGUCACUUGGCUCGUGACGUGCUUACAAUUCCUAUUUCUACUGUAGCAUCCGAGUCUGCAUUCAGUAUUGCUGGUAGAGUAUUGGACCAAAAUCGAAGCUCACUAUUACCUGAAACUGUUCAAGCAUUGUUAUGUUGUCGUGAUUGGUUAUUCGGUAAGAAAGGUAAAUUGUCUAUCACUUAAUCACUGUAUUAAUUUCAUAUUUUUUCAGCUUGUGAGUUUCGUUUAAUUUUAAAUUUUUUAAUAUAUAUUUCAGAUCAAGAUCACACUGAUUGGGAGCAACUUAGUGAAAACGUGCUAGACUUGACAUUGGACAGAUGAAGUAGAUCAUAGAGAAACAAGGUGGGAGUACUACUGGGUGUUAAUAGUAUAGCUGGAAAUUGGUUUCUGAGUUGGCCCCUCUUAUAUUGUGGCUCUAGUAACUUCCUGAACUCAAGAGUUUUCUUUAGCUUUAACCCAGAUUUUGUGGCUAAUUCUUGUCUGGCUUUCCUUGUGGGGAAGGCUUGCAAUGAGUGUGGUAUUUGUGUAGGUGUUGUUGGUUUAUUCACAUGCACUGUUUACACUCUUUUGUCACUAUAAGAUGUCUCAAAUAUAUACGAGUUGUUCAAAUGGUUCAAAUAUAUAGGAUGUCAUUUUAUAUGUGAUGUCAUUUGUAUGCAUCAAAUAUAUACGAGUUGUUCGGCAUCAAUUUUACAAUUGGAUAUUAAUGUUAUAAACUUAUAAUUGCAUAGAGGAGAAGUAAUAUUGUUAAAGCUGCAUUACCAAUGGGUAAAAAUAAAAAGAAAUAUUAGAAGAGAAGAAAAAAAAAUAUGGGUAUUUGAUUUUAUUAGAAAAAGAAAUAUUAAAAANNNNNNNNNNNNNNNNNNNNAAAAAAAAAAAACCUUAGCGGGUUCCAACGGGUAACCCGCGAACCCAACGGGUUCAACCCACUAUAACCCGUUAAGCUAACUGGUUGUAGCGGGUUCAACCGCCACAGCCCGCCCGCUAACCGCCCAACCCGCCCAUUUGCCAGGUUGACACAUAGUAACAGUGUAUCCAACUUGGGGACACAACCAAGUAUUACAUAUCAGAAACCUCCAACGUGGAAGAAUUGUACAACAUUAUGCUCCACCGUUGUGUUUUCAUCAAGAGCUGAAACUGCACUUUCACGUAGUGUUUUCGAGUAUUGGAAUGACUUGAUCGCAAGGGUAACGAAACAGAUGCUCCAGAAGAAGAUUGUAACCCAUCCGAAAGGCGGAAACAAGAUGAGCAACUCCAAAAUGGAAGCAAGAGUUCCAAGCAAGAGGCUAAUAUUAUUCAUGACUUCAACGAAGUCUGUGUUACUGUGAUUGGUUUGGAGAAUCAUGACACCAAAUGAUCCACAGUAGCGAAUAUGUCAAUGAUAAAUAGCCUCAUGAGUACAGUGUUUCUGUAGUCCAGACUCCAGCACAAAUGGAGACGUAGUUGUGAACUUCAGUUGGAGGCAAAGGCAAAGGCCUAGAAUGGUGAUGAGAGAGAAAAUGCAUUUGUGCAGUGCCAUUAUAGAACUUUUCCAAAUUGCAAACUCCUCCACUUCGUUGUUGUGUUGGCCAUUCCCAAUGAUCGAUCAGCUCCUGCAUUCUGUGGAAGCCAUGAAGCCCUCGUGUGGUGAUGAUAAUGCAUUUGUUCAACUGCAACCCCCCUAUGAAACUGUUUUGAGAAGUACCCUCCUCUGCUGUGCUGUUUGUUGGAAAUUAUGUAAUAAUAUCUAAUAUGAAUGAAAAUAAAAUUACUCAUGACUUUUCCAUUUGAAAUGGUGUGUCUUUUUCAAUAGGUGUCUUUAGGAAUAAGUGUGUCUCUUCAAGGAGGUAAGUGAACGGACAUGUUGGUUCACUUGGGGUUCUAUAUAAACCCAUACUCAUUUCUCCUUAAAGAUUAGAUUGAGAAUCCUCAAUUCUUCUAUAUGUCUUGUUCGUGUCAAGAGAGUAUAAGAUACAAUUUAUGGUUCGCUAGAUUCCAAAAUUGCGGUGCUUCUAUUUUGGAUCAUCGAUUGUUGUAUUCUACAAGGCGGACGCCCAUCGAACUACAAGCACAAGGGUAGGGGCGAAAUCUGUCUUUAGUCAAGUGCAUUUAUGCAUGCCUCAAUCGGAAUAUCAAGUCAGUUCUUUCUUUCCUUGUACUACUUUUAUAGGAUUCUUACACUAUUUUACUCCUAUAUUAGGAUUGAUUCACUACUUUCAAUCCUAAACGAAUAUUGUUAUGUUUUUUAUAUUCUUUAUUGAAAUUUCUAUCAUAUUUAUAAUCAAAUAUAUGAUUGUUCCCAACACUGUUGAAUUCUAAGUUUAGACUCAACCACAGACAUUAACAAGAGAAUUGUGUUGUAAAAACAAAGUUAGCCCUAUCCACAAAUUGACAGUAGGAAUGUUUAGUCGGUGCUGUGACUUUAUAUCGAAGGCUUUCAUCAGUGCUUACUGCUUAGUACUGUUUUGAAGUAGGAGGAUAACUGUAUUUGUUUCCUGCCUAAUAUAAAGCGGCAAAGACAACUGGAUCAAAUUUCACACCAUUGCAAAUAGAUAACACAACAUGUUCAAUGGGACUAGUAUAUAUAUAUAUAUAUAUAUAUAUAUAUAUAUAUAUAUAUAUACGGGGACUAAUAUAACGAGGCCCUAAUCGACACUAUGCCACACUCUGCUCCGUUUGGUUCCCUGCAACAUUCUGCUCCUUCAUUUCGUUUUCGUCAACACUACGUUCUCCUGCAUCUGUCUCAGCCUCGUUUUGAUUUUGGCCUUUAAACAGCUUGUUCACUUGGGUAAACACAUAAACAAGUGCCUUCCUAUACGAUUCCUUGGUCAAAAUGUGUCUAACAAAGUAAAUGAUCCACAAACAGAGGGUGAACCACCCAAAAGCUCGAACGAGCAUAAACAAUAAUAAUAUUGAUGCGAGGGAUCCAAACAAGAGGCUGAUGUCGUUCAUGAAUUGAGCCAAAUCUGAAUUGAGAGAUUGGAAUGACUUGAGAGUUGCAAGUGAUGCGAUGUAAAUCAACAAAACAGCAAUAAACGUCAGCAUGGUGACAUGAUCUGUGACAAAUGCAGAUUUACUCCCGGAUGCCUGCUUCACUUCAAGGAGCAAUCCCAGCAGGGCCAUGAGAGAGAUGAUUAAAUGGUGCAAUACGGCUUGAUGAUAGCCGUGAACCCCCUCCCUGAAAGAGAUUUUUUUUCUGCUAUUGAGUUGUAUAUGCCAAUAAAAAAGGAUUGCUCAAAAUAAAGGAAAACGAACAAUUAUAAACUGGCAAUAAAUGCCGGGAAUUGAAAAUUAUUGUUGACGACUAAAUUUCAAUCGCAGAAAUGUCUGAGCUCGAGCGCCACUGGCUAACAUCUGCUAAAUUUUAAAGGGUUGUAAUUUCACCCGUCGAAACCGAUUGCUGCUUGCCCAGAACAGCAAAGUCUGACUCUGAGGUUAGCCAUCCGGCCGGCGGCUUCCUCCCUUGCUACUAGCUUUGAGCUCAACACCAAGGGGGGUUGUCUAGGCCGAGGCGAUGCAGAAUCAGAAUCUGAAACAUGGAAAAUUCCUACUUCCAUUACUACGACGCUAGAAAUGUUAGUUCUUAGCUGAUUGCUCGAGUUUGAGUUUGCCGACCAUAGAAAAUACUUUAUUUGAACUCUCAAAAUAAACAACAGUUUCAAAAAAAUUGUUUCUACAUGAUCAAGAAAAAAAAAAAAAAAAAAAAGGUUUAAAUACUAACUCGUUCAAAUCCCGAAGAUUAUGAGCAAAGUCGAUAUCCAUCCCCGCGGCUUUGUGCAGUGCUCUGUACUUUGAAUCUUCCCAGCAAACUUUCACCACGCUCUAAAAAAGAAAGAAACUUGGAGAAUUCUGUCCUGCUACCACGUGAAAGCGCUGGAGAUGUAUGUGGUAGCUUUAACUUAACGCUUAUAAACAAAGAAGUUUCUAAAUCGCCUGAAGUUUACGCUUAGUAGAGAACGUAGAAACUUCUUUGUUUAGGCGACGUCUCCUGUGACGACGUGACGCAGUGAAAUUAGGAUUUUUUACCUCUGAUUUUCUGAUGCUGUUCUUCGAUUCCAAGUGGAUUGCUUCAUGGGAUCUAUGCCUCAACUCAGUAGCGUCUUCAGCAUCCAUUUUUGCCGCUGUUUAGCUCUGGAAAAUGUGUCCGGCAAUUGAGAACGAACAACAUUCUUUCAUCCGAUCCACACGAGCUGAACCCGUCAACCGGAGGCCGAGUCAGAGUUAGCGCGGAAGAGUGGGCCAGUUGAUUGAUCUAAUCCAAACGCUGCGCUUUCCUCAGAUCUCGACCAACACUGGCUCCUCCGCUACGACGAUGCUUGCAUAUUUUCGUUGACUUCAGUUGCCCGUAUACGAGAUUGAGAGAUUUCAGACACUGGAUUUAGAUUCUAGAUUCUACUGCUAGUAGUCUAUACUUUAUGAAACUCCUUUUUUCACUAAAUCGUUACCGACUGGGCCUGGGCUGGACUCGUACCGACUCGACAUAAAUUGCAUGGACUGGUAUUUUGUUAACGGGCCAAUCGACACGGCCCGUUUGUCAUAUUGAGCCCGUGUGGCCGGUCUAAUUCGCAAAAAACAAUAGUGAAUUUCCCGCUCUUUUCCGCGAAAUUCAUCUCUUUGUUUAAGCAACCCAAUACCCAAACUUAAAAAAUAUAAAGAAGUUAAGAAGAGAUCUUUGCAACUUGGUCUAAUUAUGUACAGAAUCACAAACUGAAAACGAAAGCAUGAAAUAGAAAUUACAGUGUUACACAGGCAGCUCCUUGCUGAGGUUCUUGGUUUCAUCAUGCGCUGUCGAAUAGCGGCUCCUCUUGAUCAGAACCUUCAAUUUCUCAUAAGCACGACCGAGUCCAGCAACUGAUCCCAUCAAGCGGCCAUUUAGUGAGAUCAGUUUCACUUGGAAUUCACCCAAAGCUAGAAUAAGAGCUGCAACAGUCCUUUUGCAUAGUGUUUUAGACAGUUGGUACGAAUCAAUUGCUGUGAUCAUAAGAUAAAUGCUCCAGAAGAAGAGUGUGAGCCAUCCGAAAGGCGGAAACAAGAUGAGCAACUCUAAAAUAGAAGCAAGAGUUCCAAGCAAGAUGCUGAUCUUAUUCAUGAAUUCACCGAAGUCUCUAUUACUCUGAUUGAUUUGGAGUAUCAUGACACCUAACAAUCCGAAGUAAAGAGAUAUGUCGGUAAUAAAUAGCUUUAUCAGUAUAGUUCUGCGACAGUCAGUCACAAGUGCAGACGCAUUUGCGAACUCCAGUUGGAGGCAAAGCCCUAAAAUGGUGAUGAGAGAGACUAUGCACUUGUGCAGUGCCAGAACAGAACUUCUCCAAAUUGCAAACUCUUCCAUUAUGUUGCUGUGAUGAUCACAAAUUCAUAAUUCAUGAAUCAUGAAAGUUUUAAUUGGAGUAGAAUGUCAGUGAAAUUAUAUGUAUAUCAGUAUAUGAUGUCACCAAGAAAAGUAUUAAUUAUCAAAUAUUGGUGAUCCAUAAGUCGUUGAAAAAAUAUUUAAAAAUAUAUAAUCAGCAGGGGAUAAACUACAGGGUCCCCUGUUCUAAUUUUAUCAAUAUAGCUCUCUGUUUUCUUAAUCAACAGAUUACCCCUUAAUAAUUGGAUCUAAGAAGAGCUCUGAAAAUAAAAGAUCUAUGAAUGAUGCUAACAAAUGAAUAUUCUAUUAACAACUCGUGCCAGAUGCCAUAGUUCAUAUCACAGAAUGUAGAAUCUUUGACGAAGUCCGUUUGUGAAGAACAAAUAAGGGUACCUGGAUAUUUGAAGACACUAGGUUACAAAAUACUAUUUCAUCGAAAAACUUUGUUAAUUGUUUAGUUUUUUAAGGAGAUGGGUGUGUGUAUCAAUUUAUAUGAGUAAAGGAAAUUGUAUUGCUAGAAACAAUGGUCAGAAUGAACGUUACAUCAUAUGUCGGGCUUUAUACAAUCUGUUGAUAUAGAUCUACAAGCAGUACUAUAUGACUGGUACUCAUUGAAAAUAAGCUCGAGAAAAGCUUCGAGCAUAGGAAACAAAACCAUAACAUCUGAGUUCCAGACAAGAAUAAACUAGCUAGCUGCCUAAUUUCCAAACAUAGAGGUUCUGCUUUUCCAACAGAACAGAGACUUUUAAAUUACAAGCUCUUUAAUGUGAUCCUGGGGAGGAAAGGAAGAACUAGCAAGAAUUGUAUAUAUAAUGGCAAACGGAAGACAAGCAUAACAAAUAUGAUCCUGAGGACCAACCGAGCAACCAGGAAAAAGAGAAAACUAAGUAGAUCUGCAUCCAGAGACAAGUAACAAAUUCGAACCAAGGAACACCAAAACCAAAGCCAAAAGUAUAUAGUAGUGAGAGGAUAUACUAACACUGGUAAACGUGGAGACUUGAGAGUUUAAGUCUUUAAGUGCUCUCCUCCAUUAAUUCCACAUACAGCUUUCUGAGAGCUCUUACUCUCGGAGAAGACAAUAUGUAGUGGAGACUAGGCAAAAAAAAAAAAAAAACCGACGUCGGUUUGAUCUGAUAAAAAAUAUCAGACGUCUUAUUCUGCUUUUGCGUUUUCGUUUUAGUCUAGUUGCAUCCGACAUUCACCAGACGAAAAUGACGAAAAUGUCCAGACGAAUUGAAGAUUUCUGUUGAAUCGAAAUCAAGGAUCAUAGGAGAGGUGCGUAAUUUUGCUUAAUCUUCCGAGUCGUCGCGACUCCCAUCCUGCAACUGCGUUGAGAUGAUACUGGUGGACGUCCUUUUCUGCAGUUCUUAAUUUGUUGAUAGCAGACGUCUUUCCUAUUUUUUAGUAGUAGAAAACUAGAAAUGUAGAAUCAAGGAUACUAAUCUGACCAGGAAAAAAGAAUCAAGGAAACUAAAAACGCGGAAUCCAUCAUCAAUUUUCAUACAUGUUAAACGUCACUGACUCUCUGUCAUGGCACGCAACACAUUUCAGUCUCCUACUCUUUUGUGUACCCAGAAACAAGGAUAUACUGUAGUCAGACCAGUGUAAAAAUCAUUAGAUUAUUCUUUAUCAGUUAAUUUUGCAUGAUGUCAAAGGCGUAGUUUACUACAUCACUGAGCAUGUAUAUGGGCCAUGCUGGUCCGGCCCACUCACAAAAUUUUAGAAUAAUGCUCCCGCUCUUCUCUACCCAAUUUUUAGUCUCUGUUUUCUACCCCAAAUUAAAUUCGAAAUUCAGUGCCAAACAGUCGUGUAAAACACUAAAACCCCUAUAUAGAAUGUAACCAAAAAAAAAAAAACCUAUAUAGAACUGUUCUAAAUCAAAAAUUACCGUCUUCCCUUGAGCUAUUAUAAUUAAUCAUAAUGAUAAUGCGACAGUUAACUGAAUCGAAUAGUAUUGUUGAAAGUGAUGCCUCUCAGUCUCUGUUUUAAACCCCAAACAAAUCCCAAAUCAAAAUUACUGUAUUACAAACUCAACAGCUUAAUUAAAGAUGAAAACUUUUCACUGCUAGAAAAAUCUCUAGUAGCUACCCCCUUUGGAUACACUUUUCUAACUAUAUCAUUAAAGUAGAGCAAAUGACAUCCUUUUAUAUUUUCAGUAUUUUUUACUCUAUGGAUACUGAUAACCGUAACAAAAGAAAAAUAAUAAUGAAAAAUAAUAAUUUAAUAUAGGAGAGAGAAUAAACAUAAAUAUAAAAUUUAAAAUAAAAUUGAAAAAUUGAGAUACCAAAGUUCAAAGCGUGGCUUUUAGUUAGUGGAGACUGUAAUAGAGAAUACCUUUUUCAAAUUCGUGGAUGCAUUGUUACAUUUCUAAUUAAGUAACAUGUACGUCAUAUGAUAUGAUAGACAAACCCAUAAAACAAAAGAUACAGAAAAAAAAAAUUAUGUACUAUAUGAACCCUUUUCUAGUAGUAUUUCCUUAGGAUUUCUUUAUUACAAGAGAUGCUUUCAAUGACGAAUAAGAUGUACGUAUCAAGAGUAGGUGGCAGCUAUAGAGAUUCAACAGGUACCUUCACUGGUGUGAUUCUGAUUCUGGGCUUCAUGCUCUGUCACCCGCCCCUCAUCCCUGGUGAUCAUGUCCUUCAAUUUUUGAGAGGCACGAGCGACUGCUGCGAUUGCAUUACUGUCCAUUAAUCGGCGAUUCAAAUCAACCAGCUUCCGUUUCAAUUCUCCAACGGAACGAACAAGAUGUUCAACUGCGUUUUGGAAGAGUGUUUUCAGAGACUGGUAAGAGUUACUGACGAACCAUAAAAGGCAGAUGCACCAUAAGAAGAGUAGGAUCAUUCCGAAAGGUGAAAGCAGGACAAGCAACUCCAAAUUCAGUGACAGACUUCCAAGAAAGAGGCUAAGUUUGUUCAUCGGAUCUUCCAAAUCUGCGUUAUCGCGUCGACUUGCUUGGAUUGUCAUUAGAAUCAAAGAGAGGAUGUAAAUGCAUGUCACAAUAAUGAAUACGUUCAUCAGCUGAGAGCCGUAGAUCGUCGCAUAUGGAGACACAUUGGGGAACUUGAGUUGCAAGCAGAAUCCCAAGACGCCGAUGAGAGAAAUUAUGCAUGUAUGCAAUUUCACUGCAGAGUAUUCUUUAGUUUGAAUCAACCCUUGUGAAGGUGAAGAGAUAACCACAGUGGUGUCUGCCAUUCCACAGCUUUUCAUAGCAUAAUUAAACUUUGGCCUUAAUUUAAACUUCGAGAGUGUAAACUGAAAGUUUGGCGCAAUGGCGACGUACGCGAUGAGAACAAAGCUAUACAUGACAAAGCGCACUGUUUGCCAAAGGAGGGACUGCCCUGUAUUGGUAUAUGCUUCCUAUAUUUCUACUGGCAUCUUGCCAAAGGAGUAACUGCCCUGUAAUGAAGGGACUGCCCUGUAUUGAAUUUUUUUUGUUUUUCUACUGGGAUACCAGAUUCCUUCUUUUUUGUUUCACCACUAACCUCCACAUUGAACCAGAGAUCGUUUCUGAGACCCACAUAGACUAAAUAUUUAAACUAUUUCGCAUCUGUGUCUUCAUUUGGCUACCGUAUUUCUUUGGUAUAAUUCUGAUUAGCCAUGGUAAAGAUUCUCACGUUUGUUUUCUCUUGGUCUUUAGAUCUGUGUUUACGACGAAGAGAACGUGUUUGUUUAUGGCCUAACUCUAUUUGCAUACAGAGCAUUCAGCAUUGAACAACAUGUGCCAUUAUGAAUGUUUGCGAGGCGUACAUUAUUACUAAUAUAGAGGGUGAAAUGUUAUUCUGUCUUAACUGCAGAAUGAUAUAUUCUUCUUGAUACAAGACACACAAUAUUCUGCCCUUAUGAUGAUUUACAUGCAUAGUUAAUCAGUACGAAUCUAAAGCUCAAGCCUACUUGCAAUUUCCAGGAAGAAACAGUUGUUUAUCAUAUUGUCGAGGAAAACAAUAAGAGUAAAUGACACUUUAGUACUAAUUUUAAAGGUUUAUUGCCCAUUCCAAUGAAAAUCUCUUUACCAACUCCAUUCCAAUGAAUUCUAAUAAAAGGACGUCAAUACUCUCACCCUAAUUUAACUCUCUUUCUCCUCUUUUUUCCUGAUCAUUAACUCUCUCUCUCUCUCUCUCUCUCUCUCUCUCUCUCUCUCUCUCUCUCNCUCUCUCUCUCUCUCUCNCUCUCUCUCNCUNUCUCUUCUCUCUCUCUCUCUCUCUCUCUCUCUCUCUCUCUCUCUCUCUCUCUCUCUCUCUCUCUCUCGGAAUCCAGAUCGGAUCUGAGGACCGGACUCACCCCACAUGCGGCGUUCGUCAACCUCGGUGGCGAUCGGACAUGGACGUCGGAAGCAGCUCAUUCAUGGAGGAGUUGGUCUUGUUUACUGUGUUGUUGUUCUCCGGCCUGAGCAGUUGCUCGGCCGAUACGAGCUCGGCACCAAGCACAUUGACCCACUCGUAGUUGCGGGUGUUGCCACGCCAGGCGACGUAGAUUUCGCGGUGGCCGAUGGACUUGCUGUACUGGUCAGUGGUGACGACGACGUAGCCGAUCCAGUUAGACUCGCGGUCCCACGACUCGUGGGACAUGGAGUGGAGGAGGAAGGCCUCUGGGACGCUGACUUGUGCGGUGGUGUAGAGGAAAAAGGCGAUCUCGUAGUUGGCGGCGUCUUGGAGCAUGACUUUGUCGAAGAAGUUGGCGUGGCCGUAGCGGCUGGACCCGGCGUACUUGGAGUUGGCGUCGUUGUUGAAGGCGUCGUAGGUGCCCUGGCAGAAGUCGCCGCAGCGGAGGAUCAGGGUUCGGAGGUGGACGUCCAGCGGGUCCAGGAGGCCGGCCCAGUUGUUUUCUCCGAGGAGAGCUGACCAUGCUAGACCUGCUACUGGUUCAGUAGUGGAAUCAGGGGUCUGGGUCUGGGUGGUGGUAUGAGUAUCCAUGGCUGGUUUUAGUUCAGAGAGUGAAAGUUGGUUUUGGUAGUAAACUUCAUUUUUUCGCAUCUACGUUGAUUUUUCUCUUUUUCAAUGUGAAUUAUGGCAUUGAAGCUACUGUUUUGUAAGUUUACUACCCCCAGUAAAAGUUUAGUAGGGGUAGUAAACUUUAGUUUUUACGAAUCUAAAUUGGUUCUUCCUCUGUUUUAGUGUGUAUUAUGGUCUUGAAAAUACUGUUUUGCAAGUUUACUACCCCCAGUAAAAGUUUACUAGGGGUAGUAAAUUUUAUUUUUUCGCAUCUAAGUUGAUUUUUCUCCGUUUUAAUGUGUACUUAUAGCCUUGGAGAUAUUAUUUUGCAAGUUUACUACCCCCAGUAAAAGUUUACUAGGGGUAGUAAACUUCAUUUUUUCGCAUCUAAGUUGAUUUUCUCCUUUUCAAUAUGAAUUAUGACAUUGGAGCUACUGUUUUAUAAGUUUACUACCUCCAGUAAAAGUUUACUAGGGGUAGUAAACUUUAGUUUUUCGAAUCUAAAUUGUUCUUUCUCUGUUUUAGUGUGUAUUAUGGUCUUGAAAAUACUGUUUUGCAAGUUUACUACCCCCAGUAAAAGUUUACUAGGGGUAGUAAAUUUUAUUUUUUCGCUUCUAAGUUGAUUUUUCUCCGUUUUAAUGUGUACUUGUAGCUUUGGAGAUAUUAUUUUGCAAGAUUACUACCCCCAGUAAGAUGUUUACUAGGGGUGGUAAACUUUAUUUUUUUGCAUAUAUGUUGAUUUUUUCUCUCUUUUAAGGUAUAUAAUGGUCAUAGGAAAAUUGUAUUGCAAGUUUACUACCCCCAGCAGAAGUUUAUUAGGGGUACUAAACUUUAUUUUUCUGCAUCUAAGUUGAUUUUUCAUUGUUUUAAGGUGUAUAACAGUCAUGGAGAAACUUUAUUUUGAGUUUACUACCCCCAGUAAAAAGUUUACUAGGGGUAGUAAACUUUACUAGUGUGUAUUAUGGUCUUGAAAAUACUGUUUUGUAAGUUUACUACCCCCAGUAAAAAGUUUACUAGGGGGUAUAAACUUUUUUUUUCGUACUUAGGUUAAGAUCACGUAAAUUCCGAUGACAUUUAAAAAAAUCCAGUGAGAUUCCGAAAAAUCCGGUCCACCGGAUGCCGGCAAUUUUCCGGCCGUCGGAAAAUUCAGGUCACCGGUGACCGGAAUCCAGCGGCCCGGAGUUUAGAGUCCGGCGACCGAAAUGCGGCUGCCGGUGACUGGCGUCGGAGCCCGGUGUGCUUCCGGCAAAGUCUUCCCUCCAUCUUUUUCACUUUUUCUCUUUAAGUAAAAGCUAAGGGUAAAAAAGUCUUUAAAAAUAUAAUUUUAUUAUAUUUUAAUAAAAAUUUGUGUAUUUGGGCUUAAAAUAAAUACCUUGUAUUUAAAUGGGCUAAGAAAAAAGAUUAUCAUUGAAAUAGGGUUUGACUUUUUCUAUUUUGUGCAAAUUGUCUUUUUCCCGAUCUUUAAUUAUGUAGUUUGGUGGUUUUUGAGGUCUAAACCCUAAAUGAUUGGCUCAUUGUAGGUUUCCAUGAAUAACACCUCUCUGUCAGAAGAAAAGGAACAAGUAGCAAAGAAGUGUAGAAAAACUAAAGACUACCAAGAAACUGUAUCCAGAGUGUUAAACAGCACGUGGCCCGUAAAUCACAUUAUAUUGAUACUGUCCCAACUUAACCACCUUUAAAGUGUUGGGUUUUAAUCACAAAAGGCCUCGGUAGAAUUGGAUAAGAUUCAUCCACUUAUAAGUUAUAUUUUAUUUGUCACUUUUCUGAUGUGGGAUCUAUUCCUCUCCAAUACUUCCAACACGCCCUCUCACAUGCAACCUGACUCAAGGUCUGCACGUGGAAUGAAUCAGGACGGAACUAACCAAGGGACACUCGGUGACAAUCCAAUCAGAACAUUCCGAUGGUAAGAUGAGAAGUCAGAACUGGGCUAGAGAAUAGAAUCCCGAACCAAACGAGAGAAUGAACCCAAAUCGGGUCCAUAAGAAUUGGAGAAGUAAUUGGAGAGGGACCCGCUCUGAUACCAUGUUAAACUGCGCGUGGCCCGUGGAUCACAUUGUACCGAUACUGUCCCAACUUAACCAUCUUUAAAAUGUUGGAUUUUAAUCACAAAAUGUAUCGGUACAAUUAGAUAAGAUCCAUCCACUUAUAAGUUAUAUUUUAUUUAUCACUUUUUUCUGAUGUGGGAUCUAUUCCUCUCCAAUACUUCCAACACAUAGCAAUGUAUCAAAUUUGAACUAAGAAUGACAUCCCAAGUCUAAAAAAGAAGAGGAAGGAAGAAACAAGGAAGAGAUUUACUAAGAGUUGUGAAUGUUGAGAGUUAACAGAAUGCCUCGAUAUAAUUGGAUAAGAUCCAUCCACUUAUAAGUUAUAUUUUAUUUGUCAUUUUUCUAAUAUGGGAUCUAUUCCUCUCUAAUACUUUCAAUACAUAUCAAGGUAUAAAAUUUGAAUUAAGAAUGACAUCCAAGUCUAAAAAAGAAGAGGAAGGAAGAAACAAGGAAGAGAUAUACUAACAGUUGUGGAUGUUGAGAGUUAACAGAAGUACAGUCCAUUGAUUUCACAGGCAGCUUUCUGCAGAGCUCUUCUUACUCUUGAACAAGACAAUGUUUAAUGUGUUGAAUGUUGAUGAUACCAUACAAGAUUAGAGAUUUAUAUAGCCCUAUAGGCUUUUCUGCUAAAAGUGAGGAUGAGUUUGAUGAAACAGAAUAGGGGCUCUUGUUUAAUAGGGGCGUUUGCAUUUGUGGGGGCUUUUGUUUGCGUUUGUAAUAUCAUCAAUUUUCUAUAGAAAUUCAACGUCUCUGAUAGCUAGUCAACACUUGUAUCCCCAGAAGCAAAUAUAUUGGCGUCACAUAAAAAUAGUCCGAAGUCCGAACAGCGAAAAGAAGUAUCGUAUGACAGAUUGGAGUCCAAGAGGAGUGUUAGCUUGGUAUGAAAGACAAACCUAGCUUGGUAUGAUAGACAAACAUUUAUCUAUUUAGCUUGGCUGAUAUAUAGUUAGAUUUGACUCCAAGGUUCAACUCCUCUCGGAGUCAAAUCUCUUUUUUAUGUAGAAGUUAAAAUGGACAAUCUGGGACCCUUUUCGUUUCGGUACUUCACACUUCGAUGUUAGUUUCUGUUAUUUUUCUGUGAGAAAAUGGAUAGAGUGGCUCUGUUUGAAUGAGCGUAAUUUCUAUUUCUAAUUUAAUUCUGGUAGGUUGAUGUUUCUGGAGGUCCAAGAACGGUUUGGCUCAUCGGAGGUUUAUCGAGGACAGAAGCAGAGGCCAUAUGGGGUAAUUGGGCGGCGAAUAUUUGUCAUCAUAGAUUCUAAAUAACCUCCUAAAAUGAACAUUUCCUGAAGAACACCUCGUGCAUGUAGUGUGUUUCUACUUUCUAGUUCAAAAGAAAAGGAAGAAGUAGCAAAGAAAUAUAUAUUGAAAAAUGAAAACUAAAGACUAAACAAGAAACUGCGUCCAGAGCAAGGUAUCAAAUUUGAACGAAGAAUGACAUUUCAGGUCUAAAAAGGAAGAAGAAGAAGAAGAACGAUUAAACAAGGAAGAGAAAAACCAAAGCAAAUACUCAAAUAGUAGCGAAAGUAGAUAUACUAACAGUUGUAAACGUUGAGAGUUAACAGAAAUGUCGUCCUCCAUUGAUUCCACAAGCAGCUUUCUGCAGAGCUUUUCUUACUCUUGAACGAAAGUAAGAGUAGGGUGCUUUUUAGAAAACAAGACUCGGGUGUAGAGUGUCGAAAUUUGAUCCCAUACACAGUGCUCAUAUAGGCUUUGUUGGGUUAAAUGUGAAUGAGGUUGAUAAAAUAUAAUAAACGUCCAAUUUCAAGCCUCAAGCAGUUUUUUUGUAUUCGACUUGCAACCAGUUCGGAAAUGCCCACACUGUCCUGUCGAUUUGGACGUUUCUGUUUUACCGAAACCAGAAAUUCAUGAUAAUUCCGUAAUUUGCUGUAUCCGAACAAUGAAGAGAAAUAUCCUAUUGUAGAAAAACUGUUUUUUUUUUUUUUUCCCGACAAUUGUAGAAGUUAAACUGUUGAUGUUUGGAUGAGUUCUUAAAGUCUUCUCAAGUUUCGAUUUGGAUAGCUUUCUUCGUUGCUGCAUUUAUUUUGGGUAUGUUGGGUUAGGUCAUCUCUUUUAUAAUUUUCAUCUUCUUUAAUAAAACCUCAGGUGUUGUGGAGUUCUUCAUCCUGUUCGAUCAAUACAGAAAAUCAUACAUCGUCUAUUUCUCAAUGACCCGACUCUCUGACAUAAUGGUAUGGAGGUUUUGUUACCACCUGUUCAGCAGAACACCCAAACAACCGAAAUAUAAUCAAAUUCAAAGUAGAAUGGAUACCCAAAUCAACCUCAAAUAUAAUCUAUCAGAACACCUCUAUAACACUCUUGCUGUAAUGUUACACUUUUCCGUUCAGCAAACUUUUCUAUAAACUUAUUAUGAUUAAUCAUACAAGUCCACUCAAUAAAUGACUUAUCUCCUUUAUUUUAGAGAAACAGGAGACCUAUCAAUCGGAUAUCUUUGCCGCGGUGGACGCCUUCUCCUCUUACGUAGCCCAACGUGUCACUGCCAUACUUCUUUCCUCGAGUUCCUGCAGCUCUCCACAUUGAGGCUGCAGCUCCAUCUGGGGCUGACAAACUGCAGCCUGCACAGUACUAGUAGUAGAUAAAGUGCAAUUUCCCAAACGCUUCCUCCCUCUUCCCCCGCCAACCUUACCAGCAUUUCUCUGGGAUAAACCCGACUGCCAGCUGCCACCACUUGAUCUAAUCGACCCUUCAAAUGUUUUAAGAUCCUCAGUCACCUUAUUUCUUGACAAGCAAGCAAUACCGGGGAGAACAUCCCUCUGCAAAUCCUUCUUUUGCCUCCCUCUCCUUGUUGGACCCCUUUGUAGCCGUUUUGACAAUGACUUCUUUUUUUGGGUUGUCUGACGCGACAUUGCAGCACUGAUCUAACUCGGUUUCCGCCAGAUUUAAUGUCAUGUACGCAAAGUAAUCCAUUGAGUCCAGUGAGGAGUCUUCAUUACAGGCAGAAGUCAACCUGACAAAUGGGCGGGUUGGGCGGUUAACGGGCGGGCUGUGACGGGUUAACGGGUUCAACGGGUUCAACUUGUUACAACCCGUUAAGCUAAUGGCUUAACAGGUUGAACCCCUUUGGUUCAUGGGUUAUCUGUUGGAACCUGCUAAGACCCGUUAAGGUCUUUUUUUUUAUUUUUUUUUUUUUAAUUAUUUCUUUUUCUUAAUAACUAAUCAACUACCUUUUUUUUUCUUUUUAAUAUUCUUUUCUAAUAAAAUCAAAUACCCAUAUUUUCUUCUCUUCUAAUAUUUCUUUUUAUUUUUACCCGUUGGUAAUGCUGCUUCAACAAUAUUACUUCUCCUCUAUGCAAUUAUAAGUUUAUAACAUUAAUAUCCAAUUGUAAAAUUGAUGUCAUUCGCCAAGCUAUAAUCAGACCAAUAUUUCUCAAACUUGAGGUUCAUGUCAUUCGCCAUUUGUCUCAUGAAUGCAUCUUUGUCUUUCAUGGCUUGUUGAAUGUUGUGCUGAAUCAUAAAUACCUUGGGGAAAAACAAGUUCGAAGUUGGAUACUUGGUUCCAGAAAAUAGGCAAGUGACAUCAUAAAAAUAUCCUAGGAACCUCGAGGUCUGCUCAACCUUGAUCCAUUCAUCAAAAGAAGAACAACACUUAAAAUCUGUGUCACAUAAUGCAAAGUUGAUCAAAGCACGGCGAUAGAAGAGUACACUAUCUAGCAUAAGAUAGGUGGAGUUCCAUCUAGUAGGCACGUCUUGUCGCAAAGCUCUCCUACUACCUCCCAUUCCAACUUGAUCAAUACAGCCCAAAAAUCUUUCCUUUCUUGCCAUUGAACCCUUGAUGUACUUGAGACACUCACGAAUCUUUAUCACUGACUGAUCAAUAGAUUUCAACCCAUCUUGAACAAUUAAGUUCAAGAUAUGUGCACAACAUCGAACAUGAAAAAAUUUCCCAUUUAACAAGAGUAGCCCUCUAAAAUUCAACUGAGUUCUCACUUCUCAACAAAGGAAUCAUUAGCAGAUGCAUUAUCCAAUGUAAUCAAAAACAGUUUCUUCUCAAGUUUUUAAGCACUUUUGUCAUGCAACCGAACUGUAAUAAGCAAGCAAAAUAAAUACUCUUUUAUUAUAAGUUACUGUUUCAUGGGUACUUCCAACUACAGAUAUAUUUUUUCAGAAAGUAUGUACCUGUUAAUGAGAAAUAGCAUUCUUCGAUAUAACAUCAAAAGUAACUCCAUUUUCUUGAAGCCUUUCUUGAAGAUCAGUUGGUCCAAAUACAAUCCCAGCUGGGAGAACUCCUCCCUUUGGAAGGUCGUCACGUUGGCUCAGAACAAUAAGAGCACAUUGAAGUAGAAUUAUCGGGGUCGUUAGGUAUCCAAUUUCAGGUCCCAUAACUCUUGUUACUAUUUCCAUAUCAGGUUUUGUGUUUCCCUGAGAAACAAGACUCCUGUCGCUGAAACCACGUCCAACAAACCACAUCUUAAAAGAAGCACUUCUCACCUCCUCAUCAGAUGGACCCUCCUUUCUGAACAAUCCAACACUGAAGAAUGAGGGAAACUUUAAAAGCAGCCACCUCCCAAAGGAAAAUAGACCCAAGAGCCCAAGAAAGAGUCCAAAAAUCAUGAUCCGAAUAAUGCCCAACAGAGACUUGGUGCCUAUCUUCACCCCAAAAUGAGCUGGCUUCACUGUUGACCAGAAGGCUUCUCUUUUCUUAAUAUGUUCAUCAGUCUCAUUCCUCCCUGGAAGACCACCAGGAUUUUCAGUCAAAGCACCAAGUGUUCUUCGUACAACAAUAGCAUCUGCUGAAGGUAGCUUCACAGCCCAAAGACCAAUCUUUUUCUGGUGUUCAAUAAUUGGUCCUUUAGAAGGAGAAGGACCAGGAAUCUACAAACAAAAACGUAAAUCAUGAUCAAUCAAUUGAACUCCCUGGCCAUUAAGAUACAUAUCAAUCUUUGUUCUCAACCCCCAAAAGUUACAUUUUUUAGUGUCUAUGCCGCAAACAUUUGAAGGAGAACUGCAAGGUAUAAUUCUAUAAACUAUGAAUCCCCUAUAUCAUUCAGCAAUAGAACUAAAAAUGCAUGAGUAAGCCAUUCUACAUGUGUCUUGGCUACCAAUAUUCUACUGUUAGCUUCCGAUAAAACUUGUAAACUUGUGUACAAAGACGUGCAGGGUAUCAUAUAGCAAAGGAUGUACAGUACAUAACUACCAAUAACCAAACCACUGAUUACGUCUGUAAGGAAUUUGAACAAAGAUACAACAAAGAACAAAGAAACACAAGCCUCAAUUGUCGUUCUUUACUAACUAACCAUAACUGCAUCUAAAGUUCUAAGCUGCCACUGGUAUAACACAAACAGAGCUACUUUAACAUUUCAUUUCUGCUUUCCCCUACAUCACUAUCCACAAAAACAGAACACAGCAGCAAAGUUUUCAACUUCAAACAACAAAACCAAUCAAGCAAUCAACAAAUCCAAAAAAGUAUGGUAAUCUAAUCAAACUCAUUACUUGCGGCCUCGGUUUUUUUGGCCUGGACCGCCGGAGCGCAUUGGUCACACCCAACACCACCGACUCAAACGUCCCAAAGUUCCCCGCAAUCCUCUUAUCACUCUCCAAGCUCAAAUAAGCCUCCACCCUAUUCGGUACCGCCGCCCCCUCCCACUGCCUCGAGUUAAACAUCACUCCAAGCUCCGCCGGAACAGAGUCAAACCCGCAUGCCGAAAUGACCAAACUACCCUUCUCCGCCGCAUUUUCAAAGUAACUCGCCUCCAUCCUCUCCAUGAACUCCGGCUCUCCNNNNNNNNNNNNNNNNNNNNNNNNNNNNNNNNNNNNNNNNNNNNNNNNNNNNNNNNNNNNNNNNNNNNNNNNNNNNNNNNNNNNNNNNNNNNNNNNNNNNNNNNNNNNNNNNNNNNNNNNNNNNNNNNNNNNNNNNNNNNNNNNNNNNNNNNNNNNNNNNNNNNNNNNNNNNNNNNNNNNNNNNNNNNNNNNNNNNNNNNNNNNNNNNNNNNNNNNNNNNNNNNNNNNNNNNNNNNNNNNNNNNNNNNNNNGGAGAUUCCCAAAUGAAUGGGGAAUCAUUCGGGGAAAGAUCGUGUUGGAUAUUAUAAGCCAAUUUGUUUCUAAUUUUUGGCAUAGAUCGUUUAGCCGGGGCUAGAGUUUCUUCUCUAUUAGUUCAUAGAAGCUAGGAGAAGAUGCAGAGUUGAGUUUGGGUUAGAGCUUUUCGGAUUUGAGAGGAAUCAAAGCCUAUAGAACUGUUAUGAAUUGAAAACUAACCUCUUCCCUUGAGCUAAUGUAAUCAUAAUGCGACAAUUAACUGAUUCAAAUAGUCAGUCUCUGUUUUCCGCGAAAGUCAUGUCUCUGUUUUAAACCCCAAAUCCCAAAUCAAAACUAAUGUAAUACAAACUCAAUCCAGCAGAGUAAACUGGAAAAUUUGUUUUAGUUAUUAUCUUAUUACAACAAAAGCCUUCAUUUUUUAUUCAAUCAGGUGUAUCAAGUCUGUGGCAGCUAUAGAAAUUAAACAGGCACCUCAUUGGUGUGGUUCUGGAUCAGGUCAUUCAAUUUCUGAGAGGCAUGAACAACUGCUGCGAUUACAUUACUUUCCAUUAAUCGGCGAUUCAAAUCAACGAGUUUCUGCUUCAAUUCUCCAAAGUCUCCUUUGAGAUGCUCAACUGCAUUUUGGAAGAGUGGUUUCAGAGACCGGUAAGACUUGCUCACGAACCAUACAAGGCAGAUGCACCAGAAGAAGAGUAAGAUCAUUCCGAAAGUUGAAAUCAGGACGAGCAGCUCUAAUAUCAGGGAUAGACUUCCAAGUAAGAGGGUGAUUUGGAUCAUCAGAUCUUCCAAAUCUGUGUUAUUGCCAUCGGCCAGAAUUGCCAUCACAAUCAAAGAGAGGAUGUAAAUGCAUGUCACAAUGAUGAAUACGUUCAUCAGCUGAGAGCCGUGGACCGUCGUGUAUGGAGACACAUUGGGAAACUUGAGUUGCAGGCAGAAUCCCAAGACGCCGAUCAGAGAUAUUAUGCAUGUAUGCAAUUUCACUAUGGAAUAUCUCGUAAGAACAGCCUCCCUCCUUGUGUUUGUGUUGGUGCUAUGACAGAGAAAAUUAACUUAGUUAGAACUAUAUUCUAUGUCCAUGUCAAUUAAAUUUGUAAAAACACCGUGGUGUGUGUUAAUUUGUUGAUGGAUACAAGAAGUUCGGAAGAAAAUGAUAAAAAAACAGGGGAUUCCUAGUCAAUCAUGCAGAGGAUAUUGGAUUACAUAAUCUUUGCAACCGAAUAGAGUUUAAUAUCUAAGGACCGGGUUAGUAUUAUUAUACCUUGAUCUGAAUCAUAUGAUUGUAGGAUGCGUGAGGUCAAAUUUUAAUAAAAGCAUUAAAGAACACUAGAAUCUAUAACUAUAAGAAAGAAAUAGAGAAGAGUUUUUAUUGAUUGUUCUGGGAGAAGUAUUGAGGCUCUUAUCCUGUGCAUGAAGUAAGUGAUGCAGUAUGAAGAUCGUGUUCUUUCUUUUAAAAAAAUAUAUAUAUCCUUNNNNNNNNNNNNNNNNNNNNUUUUGUUUCGUUUUUUUUUUUUUUUUUUUUGUAAUAAUCUUGAUGUGGGCUGGACUCACACCGACUAGAACCGAGAGAUUAUUGCGUGGCCUGGUACUUUGUUAAUGGGCCAAUUGAUACUGCCUGUUUAUGUCAAAUUGAGCCGGUCCACUCGCAAAACUCAACAAUAUUGCUUCCCGCUCUUUUCCGCGAAAUUCAUCAAAAAGCAGAAAUCUUUGCAACUUGGUCUAAUUAUGUACAGAAUUGCAAUCUGAAAAAGUGAAAACGAAAGCAUGAAAUAGAAAUUACAGUGUUACACUGGUAGCUCCUUGCUGAGGUUCUUGGUUUCAUCAUGCUCCGUCGAAUAGCGGCUCCUCUUAAUCAGAUCCAUCAAUUUCUCGUAAGCACGACCGAGUCCAGCAACUGAUCCCAUCAGCGGCCAUUUAGUGAGAUCAGUCUCACUUGGAAUUCACCCAAGGCACUUUUGCAUAGUGUUUUAGACAGUUGGUACUAAUCAAUUGCAGUGAUUAUAAGAUACAUGCUCCAGGAGGAGAAGGCGAACCAUCCGAAAGAAACCAUUAAGAAUAUAAACUAGUAAUUGAAGUUAUUACAGUAACUUGCUAAAUCAAAUGUCCGAAUGUAUCAUAUAUUUAUCACCAUAUUCUGAUAUUCAUCAAAUAUACGAGGUAGGUAGAAACUAAACAGGAGAUAGCUCAAUCAUCUGGUUCUGGUCUUGUGCUUUAUGCUCCAUCAUCUGGUUCUCGUCUUGUGUUUUAUGCUCUGUCGUGUGGUCACUCCUAAUCAACUCAGGCGAUGCAACAAUGCCGCUAUAUAACCUUGUACAGUAUUCCAUCAAGCUGUCAUUGAUCCAUUUCAGUUUCUCCUUCAAUUCCACAAAGGCUAGGCGAAGAAGAAGCACAACUGCAACUACAACGCUCACUGUAAGGAUGGUCCAUAGGAAGAACGGAACUGAUCCAUAAGAUAGAACAAUGAUGAGCAGUUCCAAAAUCAAGGCAAGAAUCCCAAAGAAGAUGCUAAUGUUGUUUGUGAAUGCACCAAAAUCUUUGAGAUCGGGAUCAGCUUUGAGUUUCUUGGCCGCGUACAUUAAUCCAAAGUAGAAGACUAAGACUACAUCAAGUAGUGUGAUGAGAUUUUCCAUCCCUGUUGUAUACUUCAGUCCAAAUAACAAGGCAAAGAAUGCGUUCAUUCCAUGGUGAAAGUCCCCUGAACUGCUCCGACUCGGUGGAGUAGCCUCCUCCCUUUUCCUGUUAUGAUUUGAUCAGGAGUUCAGGACACAAAAGAUUAGUCAAAAACCAUAAUAACAGAGCUCCACUGUUACAUUAAUAAAGCAACAUCUCACUGUGAUAACUGAUAAGAUACCAUAUAAAGGAAAAUCAGCAUUGAUAUUGGUGGAAACAUAUAUAUAUCAACCAAUUUAGUGUUGCCAAGUAUCAAGAAUCAGCAAUAUGAAAAAUUGAAUGCAACAGUAGGGCGUUCUCCGAGGAUUAAGGCCAACACCGACCACCGCAAUUCCAUUCCAGAGAACGGCCCAAUUCCCUCCUGCCGAGUCCACUCGCUCAGCCGCUCCAAUUCUUGGUAUAACAAUCUCCCACUCUAUCAUUCUGCUAAUCCAGGGCCACUGAGCAGAGACUAUUCUGGUGAACUUUGAGGUGAUUGAAGACGAGCAGUAAAGGAAGACAAAGGACGAUGCCGUGAUCAGGAGAACGUGAUUUAACAGGAUGAUACCGUGGAAGCGGACGGAGCGGUGGACCAGGUCGGCGGAGUAGAAUAGGGUGACGCGGAAGCCGGAGAAAAAGAGGACGACGUUGAAGCCGGAGAUGAAUAUCGGAGAAGAUGAAGAGGACGGGCCGAAACCCGAGAUGUAUACGACUCCUACGGAGACGUAUACGACUCCUCCGGAGAAGAGGACAGGGAGUCAGGGUCUCAGGGUCUCAGGGACGACGAGGACAAUGAAGCCUACAACAAAAAGAGGACGGUGUUGGUGUUGGUGUUGGUGGUGCCGUUUUUCUUGCAUGUGGUGGUGGACUGUUGGUGAUGUUGAUAAUGGUGGCGGUGCUGGGUUUAGUAGUGGUGGUGGUGUUGUUGCUGGUGGCGGCGGUGUUUGUGGUUGUGGUGGUGUUGGCCGUGAUGGUGUUGUUGUUUGUAGUGGUGGUUAAGGUGGUGAUUGUGGACUUGUGGUUGUGGUGGAGGUGGUGGUGGAGUUUGUGGGGGUGGUACUGGAGGUGAAAUGGCGGCGUAACGCGGUGUUUGUGGUGGUGGUGGAGGUGUUAUGUUGUUCUUUACGGCGGCGCCAGCGGUGGUACCUCAAAAAUACCCCAGGAAAAAAAAACAUAACAACAACAAAAAGAUUUUGUUUGAUCAAUGCAUAAAAACUAGAAGGGAAAUUAACAACAUCCUUUUCCAGAAGCGGAAGAUCAGCGGCAGAGCUCAUAGCGGCUUUUUGCAGUUCUAUUUCCUUCUUCUCUUCCACAAGUUUAGUGAUGAGCGUAAUGGAACACAGGCUGGAGACUGAAAACUCUAAACGAAAGAUUCUUUGGCACAGUUGCAGUUGCGUGAAAAUUGUUGACGUCGCAUGACUUCUAGAUAGAUACACAAGAUGUGAGGAUGUGUUGCGGCUGUUCAGCCCCUGAAUAUUUGUCAAAUGUUGAGGCUACGCCAAUAUCAGCAUCAAUUCUCAAAACAAUUAGACAAAUGUUGAGAGAGAGAUCAGCCGACCCUUCUCAACAUUUGAGCAACCAAGCCCUUCUCAACAUUUGCGAAACCAAGUCCCUUGGCUGAGAGUGACCCUUUGUAAUAAUUGUCCCCACCAUAUUCUUAGUCUAAAGUUCAAGAUAGGCUAACUAUAUUAUGACCAGACAAUAAAUGAAGUUUAUUGACAGUCGAAGCUUAUAUGUAUUUAUCUUUCUCUAACAAAAGAUUUUCUUGUGACUUGCUCAAUAGAUUCAAGCAACAAUAAGAAGAAAUAUUUGUCAAUUUCUCGGGUAUAAGUAAAGUGUAUAACACAUUGGACUAUUAGUUUUCUUCUAUUUUUUCUCGGCAUCAAAUUUUUUAUUUUUUUGGAUAAAUCAAACAAUGUGAUAUAUUUGUUUUUAAAAUUGAAGCUAUUGUGUUUGAUGAUUUAAACUAUAUAUAUAAAGUAUUAAUAUAAUCAUUAUUUAACAUACAAUGACAUAUGUAAAUUGUGACUAUUUAAAUUUUGACCUUGCUUGAUAAAAUUUCUGGCUACGCCACUGCCUAUAUUGGCUACGCCUCUGGCAACAUGUAUAUUUUGAGCGAUAUGGAUAUUAUAGAGAUUAGAGAGUAACAUAUGUGCAUGUUAUAGAUUACAACUAAUUAGAUUUAGUUUCUCCACCACCUGCGCAUAUGUUCAUUGACUGGUGAGUAGGGAUGACAAUGGGUAAGGUAGAGUUAGGGGAUCAAAAUACCAUACCCGUACCAUUUUUCAUUCCUCAUCCCCAUACCUGCCCCAUUUCCCGUAAUUAGAUAAUGAAGACUCCCCGUACCCGUCUUUUUUGGGGAUUACGUUCCCAUACCCACCCGAUCCCCGUUAACAAUUAUGUAAUAAUUAAUUUUUUAAAAAAUAAUUACAAAAUAUAGAAAUAUAAAAAUAAAAUCAAAUACAUAUAUAAAUAAGUUUCUUGAUUCAAUCCAACAAAAACGAAUACAAGUCUCGGUUAAAAAAGAAGUUUCUAUAAAUAUUUAUUAAGAGAAUCAUAGUAAAAAAAACAUAUUACAAAAUAUUUUACAUAAAUAUCUAUUUAUAAAUAAUAUAUAUAUUAAAAAUAAUAUUUCCAUUCUAAAUGGGUGGAGAUGGGGAUGAAUAUCAAAAUAUCAUACCCGCCCCGUACCCGAUUCAAAAAUCCGAAUACUGAGGAUCCCCAUAUCUGUCACCCGUUUAUCUCAGUAUAUCUCUCCCGUUAAGGUCGAAUACCCAUGAGUACCCUACUCACUGGGUAUUAUUGUCAUCCCUACUGGUGAGAGCAAAUUUGAAGCCAAUGUGAAUUAAAAAGGGUGCGGCUAUUUCCACCCCAGUAAAUGCUCAGUUCACCCCACGCUUUAUUUUUUACCUUCGACGUUCCAAUUCUGCCCUUAAAAUUUUGAGAAAAUCUGGUUUUUAUUUUAUUUCUUUUAUUUUCCUCAAUAUGAUAAAAUCUAAAAAUAUAUACACAUAUCUCAUCAAUAUAUUAUCAAUAUAUUUGACACAGACCUCCAUUCUUCUCAAACCACAUCAUAUAUAUGUUCUCCUCGAUCUCUUUCUUAAGUUCAUUCUUUACGAUUAUGAAUAUAUACAUAUAUAUACAUAUAUGUGUAUAUAUAUAUGUGUGUGUGUGUGUGAAAGACUACAUUUGAAACCAUAAAUAAAAUAAAAAUAAGAACGAACAAUCCCACCACACUGUAUAACUACUCUAUUGAAGAUUGAAGUGAUCCUCGAUCAAAUUUGAUUUGAAAAAUCGAUGUAGAAAAUUGUUUUUUAUUUUUUAAAAUUUUUUUUCCUGAUGUAAAGAUGUAGAGAAUUGUUGUUGUUUGGAUUUUAUAGAUUUUAGUUUAAUAUUAUAUUUUCACAAAAAUUAUUGAUUGUGGGGUUAGUAUUGAAAUAUUUAGUUUAAAAUUAAAAUGUGGGGUGAACAAAGUAUUUAGUGAGGUGGCAAUAGCCGCACCCAUUAAAAAUUGCAUAAUAAAUCUGGUGGUCAGACAUUUCCCAAGAUAUAUAUACAUGUUUAAAAACAUUAGAACUUUUGGGUCCUAAAACCUCAAUGAACAAGAAUUAUACAAAAUAAGAAAAUGGUUAUGUGUGGUUCCUUUUCCUCUGAUGUUAAGAGUAAAGACUUAAGCCCGAUGCGAGUGUGAGCAGGAGACUUGGGAGAGAUAAUUAGAAACCCUUCAUGUAAAAACAGCUUUAUUUAAUUAUCAUAUCUGGCCACUAUUGUGAAAUCUAAAAGAAAAAUAGAUUAUUCUAAAAAAAAAAUUGACUGUUGAAAAAGCAAAACAACAAUCGUGGAGGAUAGGGGAUUAAUAGAGUAUGAGUUAUAUUAUUAAGGACUCACCCAUUUCUGAAGGUAGUGCUAACAGAUUCAUUAUCGCUAAUGGUUUUUUCGAUUGUUAGUAUAUAUAAUAACAAAUUAUAUAAAAACAUUUCUAUUUUUCGAUCAUAGCAUACUUUCCACCACACCUUUUCAACAUUCUCCUUAUGUCAUUGCCCAACUACUUAAUCAACAGAUUUUUCUAUGUUCUACCAGAGAGCUCCUCUAGCUCACUCCCAUCCUCCAACAAUACAAUAUUUUUGGCAUUGCUAAGGGCAGAGAACCUUGCCCUCCUAUUUUUCUAUCAGUUUCAGCACACAUCAAUCAAUCCUGCAUAAAUGUACAAAAGUGGUUGAAGCUAGAGAUACCGUACCUGACGUCGCAUAUGGCUGACCGCCACCAUUUCUGAUGCUGUUCUUCGAUUCCAAGUGGAUUGCUUCAUGGGAUCUAUGCCUCAACUCAGUAGCGUCUUCAGCAUCCAUUUUUGCCGGUGUUUAGCUCUGAAAGAAGUGUCCGGCAAUUGAGAACGGACAACAAUCUUUCAUCCACAAGAGCUGAACCCGUCAACCGGAGGCUGAGUCAGAGCUAGUGUGGAAGAGUGGGCCAGUUGAUUGAUCUAAUCCAAACGCUGAGCUUUCCUCAGAUCUCGACCAACAUUGACUCCUCCGCCACGACGAUGGUUGCAUAUUUUCGUUGACUUCAGUUGCCCAUAUAUUUACUAGAUUGAGACGCUGGAUUUAGAUUCUAGAAUCUACUGCUAUUAGUCAAUACUUUAUGAAACUCGUUUUUUCCCUAGAUCGUUAUCGACUGGGCCUGGGCUGGACUCCUACCGACUAGACAUAAUUGCAUGGACUGGUAUUUUGUUAACGGGCCAAUCGACACGGCCCGUUUGUCAUAUUGAGCCCGUGUGGCCGGUCUAUUCGCAAAACUCAACAAUAGUGAUUUUCCCGCUCUUUGUGUAAGCCCCCCAAUACCCAAAAUUAAAAAGAAGAGGUCUUUGAAACUUGGUCUAAUUAUGUACAGAAUUACAAACUGAAAACGAAAGCAUGAAAUAGAAAUUACAGUGUUACACAGGUAGCUCCUUGCUGAGGUUCCUGGUUUCAUCAUGCGCUGUCGAAUAGCGGCUCCUCUUGAUCAGAACCUUCAAUUUCUCAUAAGCACGACCGAGUCCAGCAACUGAUCCCAUUAAGCGGCCAUUUAGUGAGAUCAGUUUCACUCGGAAUUCACCCAAAGCUAGAAUAAGAGCUGCAACUGCUCUUUUGCAUAGUGUUUUAGACAGUUGGUACGAACCAAUUGCAGUGAUCAUAAGAUACAUGCUCCAGAAGAAGAGUGUGAGCCAUCCGAAAGGCGGAAGCAAGAUGAGCAACUCUAAAAUAGAAGCAAGAGUUCCAAGCAAGACGCCAAUCUUAUUCAUGAAUUCACCAAAGUCUCUAUUACUCUGAUUGAUUUGGAGUAUCAUGACACUUAGUAAUCCGAAGUAAAGAGAUAUGUCGGUAAUAAAUAGUUUCAUCAGAAUAGUUCUGCGACAGUCUUUCACAAGUGCAGACGCAUUUGCGAACUCCAGUUGGAGGCAAAGCCCUAAAAUGGUGACGAGGGAGACUAUGCACUUGUGCAGUGCCAGAACAGAACUUCUCCAAAUUGCAAACUCCUCCAUUAUGUUACUGUGAUGAUCAUAAAUUCGUAAUUCAUGAAUCAUGAGAGUAUUAAUUGGAGUAUAAUGUCAUUGAAAUUAUACGUAUAUCAGUUUAUGAUGUUACCAAGAAAAGUAUUAGUAAAUAUUAGUGAUCCAUAAAUCGUUCAAACUAUAAAGAAAAAUUUUAAAACAAAAUAUAUAAUCAGUAGGGGAUACAGGGGUCCCCUGUCUUAUUUUCAUCAAUAUCAGUGACAUAUCUCUGAGUUCUUAAUCAACAAAUUACUCGAACACCCUGAAUAUUUGGAUUUAAGAAGAGCUCUCAAAAAUACAAAAUCUAUGCAUGAUGCUAACAAAUGAAUAUUCUAUUAACAAAUUAAGAGAACUGGUGCCAGAUGCCAUAGUUCAUGUCACAGAAUGUGGAAUCUUUGACGAAGUCCAUUUCUGAAGAAAAAAAAUAAGAGUAACAAGAUAUUUGAAGACGCUAGAGUUAGAAAUUUAGAGAGAUUCUGAACACUUUAAUACUUCUAUUUUAUCGAAAUUUUUUGUUAAUUGUUUAGUUCACUAAGGAGAUGGUGUGCGUAUCAAUUUACUUGAGUAGAAGAAAUUGUAUUGUUAAAACCAAUGGCCAGAAGGCACGUUACAUCAUAUAUCAGGCUUUAUACAAUCUGUCGAUAAUGACCUACAAGCACUAUGACCCAUACCCUCAUUGAAAAUAAGCUCGAGAAAAACUUGAAGCGUAGGAAACAAAACCAUAACACCUAAGUUCCAGACAAGAAUAAACUAGCUAGCUGCCUAAUUUCCAAACAUAAUGGUUUUGUUUUGUUUUUUUAUUUUUUUUAUAAAAUACUGACAAAGAUUAGGCGAUAUCAGCUCCUCUAUAACAGUCUGGUGGUUGAUAGAGCACCCACUCUACCCCAAAGGGGACCGCUACAACCGGGAAUCCACCGCCCGUCCCUUAUCAGAAUUUUUAUUUAAAAUAAUAAAAGAAAUUACAUGAAAAGAGGAAUGGGGGACUAGGCAACAUAGUGGUUUUGUUUUUCCAACAGAAGUUACUGAACAGAGUGGUAAUAUUUGAAGGAGAAUAUUUUAUGCUUCUGAAUUACAAGCUCUUUGAUCUGAUCCUGGGGAGAAAAAGAAGAACUAGCAAGAACUGUAUAUAUAUUGGCAAACUGCAGACUAGCAGCAAACAUGAUCCUUAGGACUAACAGAGCAACCAGGAAAAAGAAAAAACUAAGUAGAACUGUAUCUAGAGAGAAGUAACAAAUUCGAAUUAAGGAAGACCAAAACCAAAGCCAAAAGUAUAUAGUAGUGAGAGGAUAUACUAACAAUGAUAAACGUUGAGACUUGAGAGUUUAAGUGCCCUCCUCCGUUAAUUCCACAUACAGCUUUCUGGGAGCUCUUGCUCUCGGAGAAGACAAUAUGUAGUGGAUGGAGACUAGGACAAAAAAAAAAAAAAAAACCAGACGUCAGUUUGAUCUGAUAAAAAUAUAUUAGACGUCUUUUUCUGCUUUUGCGUUUUCGUUUUCGUCUAGUUGCAUCCGACAUUCACCAGACGAAAAUGUCGAAAAUGUCCAGACGAAUUGAAGAUUUCUGUUGAAUCGAAAUCAAGGAUCAUAGGAGAGGUGCGUAAUUUUGCGUAAUCUUCCGAGUCUUUGCAACUUGGAGAUGAUACUGGACGUCUUUUUCUGCAGUUCUUAAUUUGUUGAUAGCAGACGUCUUUCCAAUUUUUUAGUAGUAGAAUCAAGGAUGCUAAUCUGACCAGGAAAAAGGAAUCAAGGAAACUAAAAACGCGGAAUCCAUCAAAUCUUACGUCACCAAUUUUCAUACAUGUUAAACACUUAAACGUCACUGACUCUCUGCUAUGGCACAGAACACAUUUCGUCUUCUAACUCUUCAAUGAAUACAUUCCCUUCUGAGCACUGUGCAACCAGUGUAAAAUCAUUAGAUUAUUCUUUAUUAUGAUCAUUUAUUUUUGCAUGAUGUCAAAAGCGGGGUUUACUACAUCACCGCAUGCAUAUGGGCCAUGCUGGUCCGGCCCACUUGAAUAUUGAUGCCGCUCCUUCUAAUACCCAAAUAUUUAGUCUCUAUUUUCGGCUCCAAAUUUCCGAAUGUCAAAUCCCCUAUCGAAAAUUACCGUCUUCGCUUCAGCUAGUAUAAUUAAUCAUAACGAUAAUGCGACAGUUAACUGAAUCGGAUAGUAUUGCCGAAAGUGAUGUAUCUCAGUCUCUGUUUUAAACCCCAAACAAAUCCCAAAUCAAAAUUAAUGUAUUAGAAACUCAACAGCUUAAUUAAAGUUGAAAUCUCUAGUAGCUAGCUACCCUCUUUGGAUACACUUUUCUAACUGUAUCAUUAAAGUACAGAAAAUGACAUCUUUUUAUAUUUUCAGUAUUUUUUACUUUAUGGGUACUCAUAAAGAAAGAAAAAUAAUAAUGAAAAAAAAAUUAAUAUAGGAGAGAGAAUAAACAUAAAUACAAAAUUUAAAAUAAAAUUGAAAAAUUGAGAUACCGAAAUUCAAAACGUGGCUUUUAGUUAGUAGAGACAGCAAUAGAGAAUACCUUUUUAAAAUUCACGGAUACACUAUAAGACUUUUAAAUAAGCAAUAGGUAUGUCAUACCAUAUGGUAUGAUAAACAAACCUCUAAAGCAAAAGAUAAAAAAAAAAAAUAAUGUAUCCUAUGAACCCUUUUCUAGUAGUAUUUCCUUAGGAUUUCCUUAUUAAAAGAGAUGCUUUCAAUGCCGAAUAAGAUGUACGUAUCAAGAGUAGGUGGCAGCUAUAGAGAUUCAACAGGUACCUUCACUGGUGUGGUUCUGAUUCUGGGCUUCAUGCUCUGUCAUCCGCCCCUCAUCCCUGGUGAUCAGGUCCUUCAAUUUUUGAGAGGCACGAGCGACUGCUGCGAUUGCAUUACUGUCCAUUAAUCGGCGAUUCAAAUCAACCAGCUUCCGUUUCAAUUCUCCAACGGAACGAACAAGAUGUUCAACUGCGUUUUGGAAGAGUGUUUUCAGAGACUGUUAAGAGUUACUGACGAACCAUAAAAGGCAGAUGCACCAUAAGAAGAGUAGGAUCAUUCCGAAAGGUGAAAGCAGAAUAAGCAACUCCAAAUUCAGUGAUAGACUUCCAAGAAAGAGGCUAAGUUUGUUUAUCGGAUCUUCCAAAUCUGCGUUAUCGCGUCGACUAGCUUGGAUUGUCAUUACAAUCAAAGAGAGGAUGUAAAUGCAUAUCACAAUAAUGAAUACGUUCAUCAGCUGAGAGCCGUAGAUCGUCGCAUAUGGAGACACAUUGGGGAACUUGAGUUGCAAGCAGAAUCCUAAGACGCCGAUGAGAGAAAUUAUGCAUGUAUGCAAUUUCACUACAGAGUAUUCUUUAGUUUGAACCAACCCUUGUGAAGGUGAAGAGAUAACCACAGUGGUGUCUGCCAUUCCACAGCUUUUCAUAGCAUAAUUAAACUUUGGCCUUAAUUUAAACUUCGAGAAUGUAAACUGAAAGUUUGGCGAAAUGGCGACGUACGCGAUGAGAGAACAAAGCUAUACAUGACAAAGCGCACUGUUUGCCAAAGGAGGGACUGCCCUGUAUUGGUAUGUGCUUCCUAUAUUUCUACUGGCAUCUUGCCAAAAGAGGAACUGCCCUGUAAUAAAGGGACUGCCCUGUAUUGAAUUGUUUUUGUUUUUCUACUGGGAUUCCAGAUUCCUUCUUCUUCUUUUUUUUCACCACUAACCUCCACAUUGAACCAGAAAUCGUUUCUGAGACCCACAUAGACUAAAUAUUUAUACUAUUUUGCAUCUGUGUCUAGCUUUGAGAGAACCCACAGGGGGUUGCUCCGUUUCUAGCUUUGAGAGAACACUAUGCGGUAAAUUUACUGUAGAGGGCGUUGAAGAUCUUGGGCAAGGCUAGACAUUAAUAGCAGCUUGGAACUAGAGAUUAGAAAUGGGGGUGUGGGGAGCGUUUAGGGUAAGGGUUUAGGAAUGGAUUUUAAGUAUACAGGAAGACAUCGUGUAUAUAUAGCAAAACUUGGGAGAUGCCAGGGCUACUAUACUAAGGCUACUAGUAGUUAAUUAGCAGAGGAAAAGUGGUAGAAUUAGGGAAUUUUGGUAGGUUAGAGUGAUUAAAGUAAUCAUCGUCGAAAAGACGAAAGAUGUAGCAAAUCCAGUCGUUUGCACUGUGUGAUGGGAGAAGAAUCAGAAGAUGCAGAUUUACAUGAGUUGGGUAACAGCUUUUGUGAAUCAAAAGCCUAUAGAACUGUCAAUCUGUCAUUGAAUUGAAACCUACUCCCAUCUUUUGAGCUAUUGUAAUCAUAUAUUCAUAUUGCGACAGUUAGCUGAAUCAAAUUGUAUUGCUCGCGUUCUAUUUGCCAGAAUUAUAUAUCUAUUAUAAACAACAAAAUCCCAAAUCAAAAUAAAUGAGUUACACAAUCCUGAAAAAAAUCCGAAUUAUUACAACAAAUGCGUGGAAUUAGAUGUCCAAACGUUUCGUACCAUCAGAUGUAUCAAGAGUUAUCAGGUAUAGCUAUUGCAUGCUCUGUCACGGUGGUGUGAUUCUGGUUCUGGGAUUGAUGCUCUGUAGCUCGCCUCUUAAUGCUCACGUUCCGAUUCUGGGGCUGAAGCUCAAUUGCGCGCUUGAGAUUGCUGAUGCUCAUCUUUUCCACUUCAUCAUGUUUAGUCCUCAUGCCGCUGCUCCAAUCUUUCAGCGUCUGUCUGAAUUCUCUGAAGGCUUGAACAAGACGUUCAACUGCAUUGUUCCAGAGUGUUAGCAGAGACUGGUGAUACUUACACAUGAAGCAUAAAAGGCAGAUGCUCAAGAUGAAGCUUAUAAACCAUCCAAAAGUUUUGAUGAGGACAAGCAAUUCUAAGAUCACGGGCAGGGUUCCAAAGAAGAGGCAAAUUUUGUUCAUGAGAUCUUCCAAAUCUGCAUUAUCGCGACGAGCUGAGAUUCCCAUCACAAUUAAGGAGAUGAUGUAAGUGCAGGUCACAAUAAUGAAUGUGUUCAUCAGGCGAGUGCCGUAGACUGUUGCAUAAGGAGACCCAUCGGGAAACUUCAAUUGGAUGGAGAAGCCUAAGAUGGCGAUGAGAGCAAGUAUAAAUGUAUGCGAUGCUACUAUAUAAUUUGUCUGAGAUGCACCCUGCCCUGUUGUGUUGGUGCUAUAUAUGACAAUGACAGAGAAAAUUAUCUAGUUAGAACCUUAUUGUAUAUCUUCACCAAAUAUAAUAUGCAGAGUCAAAUACAGAUAUUAACGAGAAAAUCAUGAAAUAACACUAGAAUCUACAAGUAAGAAAGAGAAAGAGAGAAUAUAGGUUGUGAGAUUGUAAAGGUGUUCUGGCAGUCUUGUGAUUGUUUUUCAGUUUUUAACAAAAUUUGAUCUAAAAUUACAGAAAAACGAAAGCAAAUGAGUAACUAGAAUAACAAAAACUGAUAUCCUUGUUAGUGUUGUGCCCAGGCCAGGCUGCCUGUAAGAGUAUCUGAUCAAUUUAACUUGAUGAAAGAUUAACAAGAAACUAUUGAAUAGAACUUCGACUACAAAAAAUUAAAAACCAUCGAAUAAUUAAAGAUUAAUAUGUACUGACCUGUGUAGUCUUGCACUGGCAUUGUUGUGGCCGUCUCUCUUCAUACUUGUGCUGUGGUUAUAUAUGGUCAUGAGAAGAUUAAUCAGAUUGGAAGUGCAUCACUAUUUCAUAGUUGAAUUGAAAAUUAUAUAAGAAACACACGGACCAGUUAAGGAGCAAAUAAAGGAACAAAUAUAUAUGAUCCACAGCUAAAACUCAUCACUUGCUUAUCAUGAAGGUGUUAAGCUGAUAUACCUUGAUCAGCUGAAUGAUGAAGAAGAAGGCAGUGAAUUAAUGGAAAAUGGUUAGAUGGAGGAGCAUUGGCGCGUGAGCUUCGCAGCUUCAGACUGAUUUUCACUUGCGCGUGGGCAAAUUAUUGUCUCAUAACAACUUCUCUGAAGAGAUUUUUGUGUAAAAUAAGAAUCAAUCAUGGCCUUACACUUGUCACCAUUAUGUGUACCUAAACUUUUGUUUUUUUUUUGGUUCCUUUAUAUCGUUUUGGUUUUGUGUUGGAGGAAGAAGAAACAAACUCCACAACCAGAACACCCCACAAUCACCACCACCGCCAUACCAGCUUUCGAACCCCGCCAGCUCGUGAGAAAGUCGGACGCCUUAACCACAAAGCUGACGGGAAAACCAGUCUGUGUACCUAAAUUUUGGACCAGCUAUAUAUUGUCCAUAUAUGUGUGAGUGCUGGUAGUCCCGGCACUGCAAUUUUCAUCAGAUGAGAAAUCACCAUUUUUGUACAAUAACUCUUGAUUUUAAUACCAGCUUCUUCUUUUUUCAUCACUAUUUUUCUGUUUUCACUUGCUUAUCAAAUUCUAUUCUCUGUGUAAUCUCAUAUUUUCUGUAAGUUUGAUCCUUUAGCUAGAUGUUGGUUUUUCUCUUGUUCAUCAAGAAUUGUAUUUUGAGUGUGAAUUUUAGCAGAAGGAACGAAGUAUAAGGGAUAAAAAGCUACUGAUGAUUCCAAGAACCGCAACGAUGAUGAUGCAUGAAAACAAAGAAUAGCAUUACAGCAGCAGAGCUGCAGAGAGCCAGAGAUCAAACAAAUUUGAACAAUGGAAGAGAUAGAAUAGAUAUACUCACAUGCACAGAGGCUGAGAGGUAAUAGUAGAAUUGAUCUCCGGCAUUAGUUCCGAUUACUUUCUCUACAGCUCUUCGCAGUUUAGCUUGUUCUACUGUGGCAAAUUUCUGUCCAGCAGGUUGUAAUAGAAGAUGGUUAGAUCACUGUGAUGGCCCCAAGUUCCACUUCUUUCCACCCUGUUUAGUCUCCAGCUAUGACUUUUUUGACACCUUGGGCCCGGGGGCAGGGGGUACUGUCGAUUAAUUGCCACGUAUGCCUACCUCCUACUGAGAUUCUCAUACACCGUUGAUUAAUGCAGGCCGACAAUCUAACGGCCGGUUUAUGCCAGGUCUGUCCGGUCCAGAAGCCCAGUACUUCCCGCUCUUUUCCGCGAAACUGAUCGACGUCUCUGUUUAAUCCCCGAUUCCAAAUUCAAUGUAAUUGGAGCGAUUCUAAUCCAAUUUUUGAAAGUUCAAAAAUUAGAAUAGCUCUAAUUAGAAUAAAAUCCUUAAGUUGAGUAUUUUUUAUUAAUUAGUUAUGAGAUAUAUUUUCCGAUCACAUUUUUACAUCUUAACCGUUCAGUUUAUAGGUUUAUAUAAGUAUAUCACUUAUAUAAAUUUUUAGUCAAAUUGGUGAUUGUUAAGGUAUCUAACUAGAUCAAAUCAAUGGACGAACCAAAUCUGUCAAACAUGAACCAUUUAAGUUUAUAAUUUGUAAAUCACGCUUACGAAUACCUUAAUGAUUUUCAAUUCAGCUGAAAAUUUACAGACAUGAUCUACUUGUAUAUACAUAUAAACUGAAUGGUUGAGAUAUAAAUAUGCAAUCUGGAAGGAGGUGAAAGAAAGAAAUCCUCAACUCAUUUUCAACUUACUUGGCUAAGCUAUCACACAACAUAACAAAGUAUUCGCCAAAAUUAAACGUCUACAUUCGUUGCAGUAGCUGCUUCAAUUUUACGUGGUAGCUAUAUAUAGACAUAGGAAUUACAGUGUUACACUGGUAGCUUCUUGCUCUGGUCCUUGGUUUCAUCAUGCUCUGUUGAAUAGCGGCUCCUCUUGAUCAGAUCCUUCAAUUUCUCAUAAGCACGACUGAGUCCGGCAACUGCACUUUCACAUAGUGUUUUCAAGUAUCGGUAUGACUUGAUCGCAACGGUAACGAAACUGAUGCUCCAGAAGAAGAGCGUGACCCAUCCGAAAGGCGGAAACAGGAUGAGCAACUCUAAAAUAGAAGCAAGAGUUCCAAGCAAGAGGCUAAUGUUAUUCAUGAAUUCACCAAAGUCUGUGUUACUGUGAUUGGUUUGGAGUAUCAUGACACCAAAUGAUCCACAGUACGCGGAUAUGUCAAUGAUAAAUAGCCUCAUGAGUACAAUGUUUCUGUAGUCCAUCACAAAUGGAGACGCAGUUGUGAACUUCAGUUGGAGGCAAAGGCCUAAAAUGGUGAUGAGAAAGAAAAUGCAUUUGUGCAAUGUCAUUACAGAACUUCCCCAAUUCGCAAACUCCUCCAUUCCAUUGCUGUGAUGAUCAUGAGAACAUUAAUUGGAGUGGAAUGUUAUUUGAAAUUUUAUGUAUAUGAUGUUGGUAUUAUCAAAUAUUAGUGAGCUAUAGAUCAUUAAGAAGAUCAAGAAACAUACAAUGAUAUAAAUAAUCAGCAGAUGUCCUCUAUUCUAAUUUCUUCAAUAUCAAUAAAUAUAUAUUUGAGUCUGCAGAUGAACUAACAAAUAACUCGAUUCUCUUAAAUUUUGGGAUUUCAAGAAGAACAUAUAUAUAAUCUCAGAACAGAACAACUAUGAAUAGCUACUAACUAAUGAAUAUCUAUCUAUUAACAAUGAGAACUGGUGUCAUAUGCCAGAGUAUAUAACAGAGAAUGUAGAGUUAUAAAUCAAAACUGAAUAUCCAUAUCCAAAGAAAAACAGCAGAGAGUAACAAGUUAUUUGAGGACACUAAACUUGAGUAACAUAGAGCGAUUCUGAACACUUCAAUGCUAUUUUAUUGAAAAGAGGAGCUCUGUUUGAAUGAACUUAUUUUCUAUUUUUAGUUUAGGUCUUUGGUACUAAUUUUCUACAAAAUUAGGCAUGAGUGUUCAGUUCUGAUAGGUUGGUGUUCUUGGAAUUCUAUCUAAGAACAGCUGAACAGUUUGGCUUAUUGGAAGUUUAUCGAGACCCGAGGCAGUCAGGCAGAGGCCUUGGGGUAAAUGGGCGGCAGAAAUUUGUGAUCAAAGAUUCUAAACAACCUCCUAAGGUGAUCAUUCUAUGAAGAACACCUGAUGUAGUAGUGUGCAUCUAUUUCAGAAGAAAAGGAAGUAGCACUAUACUUAAGCCUAACAAGAAACUGUAUCCAGAGCAAGGUCACAAAUUUGAACUAAUUAAGGAAGACAUUGUCAGAUGUGAAAGGAGGAAAGAAACAAGGAAGAGAAAAACCAAAGCAAACAUAGUAGUUGCAUGCAUGUGUAGGUAGAUAUACUAACACUUGCAAAGGUUGAGAGUCAACAGAAGUGCCGUCCUCCAUUGAUUCCACAAAUAGCUUUCCGCAGAGCUCUUCGUACUCUUGAGCAAGCCAAUGUGUCGAUGAUUUUUGCAGAGCUCUUCUUACUUGUGAACAACAAUAUAUAGACUUGUACAGGAUAGCAGUGUGGAUACAAGUCGAUGGACAUUAUUUGAUAAAGUAUAAUGUAGCUAAAGAGGGUUCCAUAUUCUUUGAAAUGCCCAAUGUCCAAACUACCCACACGAAUUGAACAUUUCUAUUGUACCGAAAUCAAGAAUGCAUAGGAGACGACCGUAAUCUUCCUCUAAUUCUCGAAAUCCUAAAAUCCAGUUUCUAUUCCAUUUUCACAGCUUCUAUUCCAUUUUCACAGCUUCUAUUCCACUGACUUUGUCACACUAACAUUUGUGAAGCGCAGCAGCAAGUGUUAAAACUUUUAAUCCAUCUAUUCUAGUGGUAGCGAUAUCACCGAUAUGCGGAACCCAGCAACGCGGUAUCAUGAAUCUUACAUCUAAUAUGACAAUUAUCACUGUUUUAUAGAUAUUCAACGUCUAAUAUGACAAAAAAAAAAACGUAAAACUAAAAGGGAGAAAGACAAAAGAAUAAUAAUUUCGUGGGCCUUUUUUUGUGAUCAUGACGACGUUGGCGUAUGUAUCAGAAUUCAGAGACGAGUUAAUAGAGAGAGAGAGAGAGAGAGAGAAACAAAGGUCAAAGCGAAGCAGUUGUAUAUAUGAGAGAGGAGUACUGGCUAGCUAGAAUGCCCUAUAGCUCUAUAGGUUUUAAAAAAAAAAAAAAAAACUUAAGUAAACUUGGUAAAGAACAAUCUUGAUUUUGUGCUCUGCAACAUCCAGGGACAGGUUUCCACUCUAAGGCCCUGUUUGGUUCAUGGAAUGAAGGGUUUGGGAAAAGAAACUGGUUCCUUUCCUUUGUUUGGAAGCCAACAGGAAAAAGGUAGGAAACGAAACUGGUUCCAAGGUGAAAGGAAAGUUGGAGGGAAAAUGCUUCCCUCUGCCUACCCCAAGCAAUCUCAUUCCCGGCCACAUUCAUACAAUUAUUUAUUAUUUUUUGACCAAAUUGUUGCUAUUAAAAAUUGAUCUUGUAUCCUUCUCAGCUUUUCCAGAUCUGAACCAUGGUUGUCGAAGUUCUCAGCCCACAAGACUGCCUCAAACACCCUUCAUCUCACGGUCUCCUCUCUCUUCCGAUGAAGUACCACCACCGCAAUCCUACCCCUAACAAGGCCGCCUGUCUCCAGCCUGACCGCCGCAAGCCGCAGCCCAAGCCGGCCUCCCCGAUCCAGAAAGCUCUCGUUCCCCUCCUCACCGGCCCUGUCAAAAUCCUCAAGCGCGGCGAAGACCUUCCCAAGCCGGAGGAGCUCCCGAAAGCCAAGGAGAAUUGCUCCCCUCCGAAACAAAACCAGAAGGUUCUAGAUCUCGGAUCUACAGUUUUUUCGGGUCCGAAAAACCCGAAGAAGGGUUUGAAGUUGUUUUGGAUGUUAAAAUUGCAAUGGAAUAAAAAGGAUAAAUUUCAGAUUGUUUUCCUGGUUCUACCAAACACCAGAAAGGAAAAGGGAAAGGAGUUGCAAUUUCCCAUGGGAAAGGAAAAUUUAAGGAACAGAUUCACUUUCCUUUCCUUUCUAUGAACCAAACUAGGCCUAAGAGUGAGGCCUGGGAGGCUGGGAUCAUCUCGAUCAACGCCCCCUUGCAUACGUGGGUUAUAAUAAGAAUUUUGUGUUGAAUUAGGCCCAUACUGGUUCGGCCCACUAUCGGAAUUUCAAAAUAUUACAACCCGCUCUUUUCUGCGAAAUUUAGUCUCUGUUUUCAUCACCAAAUCCGGACAAUGAAAAUGGGAAUUAUAUUGCGUAGUAGGUAUUAUAAGCCAUUGUUUUUUAAUUAAUGAAAUAGACUGGGUAAGCUGCGCUGGAGUUUCAUCUCUAUUAGUUCAUAGAAGCUGUGAGAAGAUGAAGAUUUACAUGAGUUGGGUUACAGCUCUCGGGAUUUGAUAUGAAUCAAAGCCUAUGGAACUGUCACUCCCAUCCCUUGAGCUACUCUAAUCAUAAUCAUAAUGCGACAAUUAACUGAAUCAAAUUGUAUUGCUCGCGUUCUUCUUGCUAAAAUGAUAUCUUUGUUUUAAACAACAAAAUCCCAAAUCAAAAUGAAUGAAUUACAAACUCUGUCCAGCAAGGAAACUUAAAAGUAUCGAAAUUAUUACAACAGAAUCGUGGAAUACGAUGUCCAAAUUACAAAAUCGUGGAAUAAGAUGUCAAAAUUAUUACAACAAAAUGUACCAUCGGGUGUAUCAAGAGUCAUCAGGUAUUGAAAUUACAUGCUCUGCCGCGUUGGUGUGAUUCUGGUCCUGGGAUUGAUGCUCUGCAGCCUGCCUGUCAUUGCUGAUGUUGAGAUUCUGGGUCCGAAGCUCAGUAGCGCCCCCGUUGUUUCUGAUGCUCAUAUUGUCCACUUCAUCAUUUCUAACCAUCAUGCGGCGAGACCAAUCUAUCAGCGUCUGUCUAAAUUCUCCCAAGCCUUGAACAAGAAGCACAACUGCACUUUGGGAGAGUGUAUUCAGAGACUGAGAAGACUUACUCAGGAAGCAUAGAAGGCAGAUGCUCCAGAAGAACAGUACGAUCCAUCCAAAGGGUGAAAUAAGAACGAGCAACUCUAAAAUCAGGGACAGAGUUCCAAGCAAGAGGCCAAUCUUGUUCGUCAGAUCUUCCAGGACUCUAUUAUUGCUAGCAGCUUGGAUUGCCAUCACAACUAAAGAGGCGAGGUAAAAGCAUAUCUCAAUAAUAAAGAGGUUCAUCAUCAGAGUGCCGCAGGCCGUCUCGUAUGGAGAAACAUUUGGGAACUUGAGUUGGAGGCCUACGCCGAAGAUGGUGAUGAAAGAUAUUAUGCAGGUAUGCAUCACCACUACAGAAUAUCCCUGACGAGCACCCUCCCCUGUUGUGUUGGAGCUAUCAAACAGAGAAAUAAUCUGGUUAGAAUUCUCAAUACUCAAUUCUAAAGUCAGAAGUUAGUAAAUUAUGCGUUUAAAAAUGAUGUGAGAUUUUCUUUGACUCUUAAUUUUUCGUUUUUUAUUUGACCCUUAAUUGUUCGUUUUUCUUUUCUUCUUGAGAUUUUCUGUAAAUUUUGCUAUGGGAAUGAGAAAUGAGCAAAGAGUUCAGAGGCAUAUGACCGAGAAUAAUAAAAUAAAAUAAAAAAUGUACUCAACAACUUCCGAUGACGGCCAAAAUUAGACAUGGAAAAUUUGGAGUCUGAUGCCCAAAAGAUAAUCACAACCACUUCCAAACUAUUUUGGGAUUGAAGCAGGUGGGGUUAUUCAAGAUCUAAAUACAGCAGCCUCAGAAAUCAGUAUAUAUGCAUGGUUUGGGGAAUUUCUACACAAUCCACAGCUACGACUCAUAACUUGCUUAUCAUGAUGAUCAAGUACAAGGAAUAAAUAAGUUACUAAGGAUUUCAAGAACAACAACAACGAUGAUGCAUGAAACCAAAAGCUAGCUAGCACUAGCAGCAUACAGGAAACAGAGAUCAAACAAAUUUGAACAAUGGAAGAGACAGAAAGAAUUAAUAGAAGAUGCAUAUAGAUAUACUAACAUGUGCAGACGCUGAGAGCUCAUUUCCGGCAUUAGUUCCGAUUACAGCUUCCUCCAGUUUUCCUCUCCGGUGUUCGUUUUGGUUCAAAUGGAAGAAAGGGGGCUAGAGAUGGAAGUAGUUUGGUGUUUUAUAAUUUCCGUUGGAUUUGCUAUCCUAAAUGACGAAACUGACCACAUGUUUUCAUUUCUGCGUGAAAAUUCGGAUGGAAGUCAUAGUCAAAGUAAGGGCAGUUUAGUCAGAGCGGUGAAUUUGGAUUUUCAUUCGGCAUGGGUUGGUGAAUGGUGAAGGACCAUCUAUGAGUAGUUUAGUUGGGCUUUUUGGCGCUGGUUUUUCGUGAUUUCUCAUGAAAUUGCCAGGUCUGCCAACUUUCCUCCAAAUACUGAUAUCUCAUUGGCGGAAAAACGUUUGGUGGGCCAGGGGAAGGGGUACUUUGGCCAUUUCGUGGUGUUGCCACGUAUGCCUACCCCUCCAAAUACCAAAAUGCGGGGUACUGUAGUCAUUUCCAAUAAUUGCCACGUAUGCCAACCUCCUCAUUUCUGGUAGGCGAACUGGGAACGCGGGAAAGGUAGGGAGAGCCAGAGAGGUGCUGUCGUCGUUUCAUCUCUGGUAGAGAGAGCCGGGAAGGUAGGUGAAUCGAGAAAAUGAUCUUCCUUUUGGAAAAGGUCGUUUUGAAACCAAAACUAAAAAAAAAACGAACUGACCUUUUGAAAGAGUGAGAGAGAGAGAGAGANNNNNNNNNNNNNNNNNNNNAAACGUAAACGUAAGUAGUAGUAGAGAGAGAGAGAGAGAGAGAGAGAGAGAGAGAGGGAGAGAGCAAGUUUUUUAUGUGGCCUGGACAGAUAUUUGUUAUUGGACCCUAACCCGUUCUAAAAGCCUGUUUAGGCCAAAUUGGGCCAGGUCUGAACUCUCCAGAGUCAAAAUUACUGUUGAUUCCCGCUCUUUCCCUGUUUACGCCCAAUUCCAUAUGAAUUUAUACAGAAAGUGUUUGCACGUAAAUGAUUUUAAGGCAAAAAAAAAAAAAAAAAAACUUGGUCCUGUUACAGUAGAGUUGGCGGUAGCUGCUUCAAUUACGUGGUAGAGAUAGAAAUCACAGUACAGUGUUACACCGGUAGCUCCUUGUUCUGGUCCUUGGUUUCAUCAUGGUUUGCCGAAGAACGCCUCCUCUUGAUCAGAUCCUUCAAUUUGUCAUAAGCACGACCAAGUACUGCGCUACUUCCCAUCAAGCUGCCCUUCAUCAGCUUUACUACUUGGAAUUCACCCAAGGUUACAACAAGAGCUGCAACUGCACUUUCACAUAGUGUUUUAGAGUAUUGGUAUGACUUGAUCGCAAGGGUAACGAAACAGAUGCUCCAGAAGAAGAGUGUGACCCAUCCGAAAGGCGGAAACAAGAUGAGCAACUCCAAAAUAGAAGCAAGAGUUCCAAGCAAUAGGCUAAUGUUAUUCAUGAAUUCAACGAAGUCUGUAUUACUGUGAUUGGUUUGGAUAAUCAUGACACCAAAUGAUCCACAGUAAGCAGAUAUGUCAAUGAUAAAUAGCCUCAUGAGUACAAUGUGUCUGUAGUCCAGCACAAAUGGAGACGCAGUUGUGAACUUCAGUUGGAGGCAAAGGCCUAAAAUGGUGAUGAGAAAGAAAAUGCAUUUGUGCAAUGCCAUUACAGAACUUCUCCAAUUUGCAAACUCCUCUAUUUUGUUGCUGUGAGGAUCAUUACAACAUCAAUUGGAGCGCGAUAUCAUUGAAAUUUUAUGUACAUGAUGUUAGUGAGCUAACAAGAAAGUAUUAUCAAAUUUGUGAGCUAUAUAGAUCAGUAAGACUAUGAAGAAAUCUAUAAAUAAGAGAAUUAGCAGAGUUCCCCUUGUUCUAUUUUCGUCAAUAUCAGUGACAGAUCUUUGAUUUUCUUUAACUAACAAAUAUGUCCCAUUGGAUUUUCGGGAUUUCAAGAAUAGCAAAUAAUCCCAGAACAGAACAACUAUGCAUGGCUACUAACUAAUGAAAAUCAUAUUAACAAAGAGAACUGGUGUCAUAUGCCAGAGGUUAUGACAGAGAAUGUAGUCAUAAAUCAUAGUCAAACAUCCAUAUGUCCGGAGAAAAACAGCAAACAUUAACAAGUUAUUACUGACACUAAACUUGAGUGAAUAUGAACACUUGAUGCUAUUCAGUCGAAAAACUUUGUUCUUUGUUUACUUCUUUAAGGAUGGAUUUGGUGUAACAAUUUAAUUAAACUAUGUCAUCAUUCGAUGACCCCUUUCUUUCUAUGCCAUCUGGGUUCGUUUUCAAUUCAGUAUUUGAGAUUUUCAUGUUAUGUCCCUCAGUCCCUGUUAUUUUUCAGUGAAAUAUCAAAUAUGGAACAAAGUAGCUCUGUUUCAAUGAGCUUAUUUUCUGUUUAUAGUUUAGGCCUUGAUACUAGUCCAUCGUUUACCCUACAAAAUUAGGCAUGUGUCUUCAGUUCUGCUAGGUACGUUGGUGUUUUUGGAGGUGUAAGAACAGUUAGGCUUAUUGGAGGUUUAUCGAGAACCGAGGCAGUCAGGCAGAGGCCUUGGGGUAAAUGGGCGUCAGAAAUUUGUAAUCAACCUCCUGAGGUGAUCAUUCCAUGAAGAACACCUAAUGUAGUGUCUAUCUAUUUCAGAAGAUAAGGAAGUACCGAAGUAGCAAGUGCUGUAUCCAGAGCAAGGUAGCAAAUUUGAACUAAUUAAGGAAGACAUUUCAGAUAAAAAUAAAACAAGAGGAAAGAAACAAGGAAGAGAACAACCAAAGCAAAAACAGUAGUGCAGGUGCAGAUAUACUAACACUUGUGAAGGUUGAGAGUUAACAGAUGUGCCGUUUUCCAUUGAUUCCACGAACAGCUUUCUGCAGAGCUCUUCUUACUCUUGAAACAAGCCAACGUAGACUGUGGAUGAUACCAUACAAACUUACAAAGACUUCAAAGAUUUGGAUUUAAAGUGGCGCUACUGCAUGUGGAGGAUACCAUACAAACGUCCUUCUCUCAGUUCUCUGUUGGUUUUCCACGUUAGAGGGAAAUGUCUAAACUGUCCACACGAAUUGAACGUCUCUAUUUACAAAAAUCAAGAAUCAACAGGAGACAACCGUAAGUUUCCGUAAGAGUAGAGGUUUCAGGUUUGGUCCGCAGACCGCAGUCAACCAACUAAAUGGUAGUGGAGGAGGUCGUUUUCUUGAGGCAUGAUGGUGAUGUUGAUCGAGCUUCUCAUUUCUUUUGGUAGUGAAAUGAAGGAAACUACAUCCUCAAAAAACAAGAAAUGAAGAAAACUGAGGACAUCAUCACUUUUUCAUUGAUAUUCGUCUCUAAUAUGACUAGCAAGUAGCAACACAUGUCAUACUCCAUGCCUUUUGUUCCCAGAAAUAGAAGCAGACAGUCCGACAGUGAAAAAGGUUUCUUAUUGUAAAAGUUAAACUGUUGGAUGUCUGGAUUAGUUGUUAAAGUCCCUAUCAAAAGGGGCCUUGCAAUUGCCUUUUGUUCUUGAAGUUGAACUGUCAAGUUUCGAUUUGCUUAGCUUUCUUCUACGCUUUAAUUUUUGGUUAUAUUGACUUGGUUCAGAUGAGAUAUUGGCUUACUUCACCUCGUUUCAUUUUCUUUAAUAAAAUCUCAGGUAUUAUGGAUUUCUUCUCCAUCCUGUUCGGAUGAGGAAAAAAAAAAAAAAAACAAAUUCAUACACGGCCAAUUCCUCAUAGACUACUCGACUCUGAUGUAGGUUCAGCAGGACACCCAAAGAACCGAUAUAUAAUAAUCAAGAGACAC
RNAcentral lists this long non-coding RNA (70705 nucleotides) under Fragaria vesca (wild strawberry). Its description in RNAcentral is "long non-coding RNA (FVES_LNC003324)". The record is from RNAcentral. Lineage: Eukaryota; Viridiplantae; Streptophyta; Magnoliopsida; Rosales; Rosaceae.